UUUUUUUUUUGGAAAAGCUUAUCAUCGUUACAAAUACAUAGUCUUAUGCAAAUUUAUACUAUAUAGUGGCAAGAUAGAUAAUACACAACACCGGAAACUGCUGCCCUCUAUGUAUGCCUUUUUUUAAUAUCAACGCAACAUUAUUUUUAUUCAUGAAAUAUAUUACUAAGAAAGAGUGUAUGGUGCAUGAUGAUAUCAUUACGAUUAGUUUCGAGUUUCGUCCUCAGUUUCCACGGCACCAUGACCACCGUGACCACGUCUACCGUGGUUGUGACCACCUCCACCACCAUUGUAACCCUCUCCGCCAUGGUUGUAAACAUGUCCACCUUUUUCAUGAACAUCACCAUCACCGUUGUUAGAAUCAUCACCGUUGUUAGAAUCACCACCGUUGUUAGAACCACCAACAUAGCCUCCAUCUUUGCCAUAAUUUAAGUCAGUCUGUUCAACACUAUCUGAAAAAACAAUAUAUAUUAAUCAUUAUAUCAUUAGAUAAUUAAAAAGGUUUGCUAAAUUAGAUAUAAAAAAAAUAUGGUCCAAGUUAGCAAAUAUGCACAUUUUUAUUUGGACAAAAAUAUCCUUCAUUUUUAUUAUUAAAAACUAAUAGUUUGAGGGUUACUUUAAUAUUUUUAUUUAAAACAUAUUUGUUACCCGACACCAAUUGCUAACUUAGACCCACUUUUAUUUUAUUACAAAUAAAUUAAGGGUCACUUUAGUACUUUUCAUUAAAACAUAUAUUUGUUAACUUGCAUCAAUUUGCUAACUUAGACCCACCUUUAUUUUAUAACAAAUAGCUUGAAGGAUAUUUAAUAUACUAUCACUUACAUUAAUUUAGUUUACACUAGUGGAUAUUUGCUAACUUGGAUCAAAUUGCACCGAUGUGAUAUAAUAUUUGAAUAAUUUACACUGCUUAAAAACUUCUUAUUGAAUAUAGAAUUAUAGCAAAAAAAAAUUUAAUAAAGAAUUAUAGCAAAUUUUAUAAGACUCACAAUUGAAUAUAUAAUUAUAUCAUAUGGAUCAUCUCUGUAAGUUAUAUAUGAAGCAAAUUUGAAAUCGUUUUUUAUAUAACAUUGAAGUGCAUGAAGAUUAACGUUUACAUAGAAAUGAAUUAAUUAAAAUGUAUAAAAUACAUAAUUAAGUAUAAAAGAAUUAUCCUUUAAAAAAGUAGAAAUGAAUUAAAAACAUAUGUCUAAAACGCUCACCCCAAUUAGGAUCCGUGGAAGUUUCGGAUAUCACUGAGGAAAUAAGAACCAUAGCCAAGAGGCCUAGCAUAAGGAUUGCCUUUUUUGAAACCAUUGUUCAAUAUCUGUUCAAAUUUGAUAUUUGGUAGUGAACGAUGAGAAAAGUAGCAAGAAGUGUGCUCUAUAUAUAAUGGAGGGAAGGAGUGAGAUGAUGUAGGGACAUUCACUUGCUAGUUGAGAAGGUAGCUAGUGUGUAAUAAUUCAUUGCUUUUUAGUUUCAUAAUGUACAUGGUCUAUAAUAUCGACCAGAUACAUCUUUUAUGCAAUUAAUCUAAAAAAUAAAAUUUUAUGUAUAAUAAUAAUCGGAUGAUGUAUAUAUUUAUAAAUUUUUAACUAAAAUAAUUGUUUGAUGAUUUUAAUAUCAUUUGUUUUGACUACUUCCUUUCUUUCAAAAUAAGUGAUCUAGUUGAUUGUUUUAAGCAAUUUAUAUAUGUAUAAACAAAAAAAUAUAUAAAAUUUGAUUUUUAAAAAUAUUUGUUGAAACAAAUCUAAAAAUAUCUUAUAUACUGAUAUUUCUCUUUAUAUGGUAGUAGAAAAAGAUUAUCAAAUAUAUUAUGUGAAUUGUGAAUAAUAGAGAAUCACUUAUUUCAUAAUAGAGAGAGUUGUAAAGACCAAAGGCUAUGAAAAAUUGAAAAUGGUGAUGAGGUAUGGCUACUUUCUAUUGGCUGAAAGUGACAUUUUGAAAGCAUACUAUUGGUUCAUACUAGCUAUCUCAUCCCAUGGAGAUACAUGCAUUCAACUUUAUCCAGACACAUUCAUAAUAUGUUUUCUAUAAGUAAUUUUAUUUUUUUUAGCAAAAGAGUAUUACGGAGGUACACUCUAUACUUGAACAUUCACUUAUUAUAUGUUUUCUAUAAUAAUUAAUAAGUGAACUCUAACCAAUAAACUCUACUUGAACAAAAACAAAAAACAUUUUCCUUAAUCAUAUUAUCUCCAUCAAUCUCAUUUUAUUAUUCGCCACUUUGAAUAUACUAUAUACAGAUACACUAAUAUUAUAGCCAUUCUCUAAAGGCUAAUUAUUUCUAUUCUUUUGGUGUUUUUAAGUAAAUUAGCUUUCGUGCUAGUAGCAUUCCAUUUAGCAUGUAAGUAAUUAUACCGGUGUAUGAGAACAAUUUCGUUUUUGACACUAUGCAUAUCUUGCGGUAUUAUGCUUUAAAAAUUUGCUUACAAAAAAAUAUUAAUAGCUAAUAAUGAUAUUUAUUAAAACCGAUAUUCUACUUUUUUUUUCAUUUCUCAUGUAUUUUUUUUAAUUUUCGUGAAAUCAUCAAAAAAAUAUGCUUUAAUUUGUGGGACAAAAAGAGCACUAGAUGAAAAAUAGGUUUUUGCAGCGUCCAAAAGCCUCCUCAAAAAACCUCCCUGAAAUAGGUUCAAGUUCAACCAUCCCGCUUUUAAACCUCCUCAAGCGUUUGCAUUUUUUUUAUGUUUUCAUAAUUAGUGUGAAAAAUAUAAAAAUAAUAAAUUUAAUAAAAAUUAGAUAUAUUAAAACAAAAAUUGUAGUAAGAGAGAAUUAAAAAACAACUUAAAAAUAAAAAAUGGUAAAACAAAUAUUUUAUAGUAAUUUAAAAUUAAAUAUAGAUUAAAUUUAAAAAGGGUUAAAUAUGUUUUUAAUCUCUACAAUAUCACAGAAUUUCUAGUUUAGUUCCUACUCCCUCCGUCCUAAUUUAUAAACAAAAAACACAAAUUCACACUUAUUAAGAAAACAAAAACAUAGUAGUUUGAGAUAUAAUUUUUUGUGUUUUUAUUGGAAUAAGUUUCAUGGAAAAAAAAUUGUGUAGAUUAAAUUUUUUGUGCCUUUAGAUGAAAAAAAAAUAUUGGAUGAUGAUUAAAAUAAAUUAGUUAGAUGAGAUGAGAGAGAAUGAAUGAGCCAUAGGUCAGACUCCCCUAACCAAGAACAAUGCCCAAAAGAGACAAAGCCAUCAUAGACCCGUACCUAGCAUAAAGGACAUCCCACCACAUAAUCAGGCUCUCCAAAAUAAUCAUCCAACAUUACUUACAAGCAUACUUAUAAAAUUCAAAAGAGGAAAAAAUACAAAAUACUUAUAAAUAAAUUCUCAUGAAUAAAGAAAAAUGAAAAAUAUUAUAUAGUUCACCCGUUUUGGUAUUAGAGGAAGUCUCAGUUAAGACCCUCGCUGAAACCCUAGAGGAAAUAAGAACCAUAGCAAAUAGGCCUAGAAUGAGGAUUGCUUUUUUUUGAAUCCAUUGUACUCAAGAGUAUAAAUAAACUACACAAAUCGGUAUUACAAAAGGGAUAUUUGGUAGUGAACAAUAAAAGAGAAUGUGCUCUAUAUGUAGUGGAGGUUGGGAGAUCAAUACUUGGUAGUUGGGAAGGUGGAAUAGUGCUCUAUAUUAAUUCAUUCUUAUCUUCAAAUUCAGAACUGUUUGUUUGUUAGUAAUUUUGAAACCAUUCAUUUUGAGUAUUAAGAAUCGGAGGCUACUUAAUUCGUUGAAAAAAUGAAGCAGUUAUUGUCUAUGCCAAGCCUACUUAAUUCGUUGAAAAUAACAGUAUUGAAAGUAUUGAAAAUAACAGUAUUGAAAAUAACAGUAUCAACCACAUACAUCAUUAAAUAAAUAAACCUAAAAAAUGAAUUUUGUUUAUAUUUUGAUACGGAGUGAGUACUUUUAAUUUUGAAACCAUUCAUUUUGAUAUUUGAGUGGUGAAGGUACAUUCCGAAUAAACACUCUAAACUCUAAACUUUUUUAUAACUUCAACAAAUGAUCUAUCUAUCACUCAAAUUAAAUUUUUAAGGGGUUCUAAAUUGACUAGUUUAAGUGUGAAGAACAAGAAACAUAUGAAUAUGCAAACUAAAAUGCAACAACAUAUUGAACAAGACUUUAAGCUCGGACAUGAGUAAAAAAUACACAACUAAAGGGUUCAAACUCACAUAUUUACUAGGUUAUUGUGAAUUUGGACUCAAAUCUUAAAAAAAAAAAAAAAUAGAUGUGAAGAGCAUAUAUCAAUGACAACCAACAAUCAAACAUUCUCAAGUUACACAACAUAUUUAAAUAUGUGUAAAGUAAAGCCACAAUCAAAGCAUGGAAUAAAGAUAAAAGAGAAGAGAAAUCAACAUAGGAAUACUAUUGUUUACCCAAUUUGCAUUGGUCCAAGAAUGAGCCACAUUUUGGGGAGAGAAAAUAUCUUCAAUCCACUAUCAAUGAUUCAUUGGAAAGAGAUACAGAGAGUUACAUGAAAUUAACUUCAACAAGAUCUUCGAGAGCAAACUUAAUUUCUACUAUUUUUCUACGUACACUCUUCCCUUGAACAAGAGAGUUACCAAGUGACCAAAAAAUUUAGCUUCCAAUGUUUUCCAAAAACAUCCCCUAAGAGGAGAUUAGUUUAUGAAUACGUUAUUUAAUUAUUCCAAUGUUUAUGAAUACGUUAUUUAAUUAUUAACUCUUGAAAGGAAGUCUCAAGUCACAACAAUUCGGGCACACCAUUUCGAAAUACACAUAUUCAUAAAAAGAUAGAAAGAGAAAAUAAUUAAAUAACGUAUACUUUUAAAAUAAUUAAGUAUUUCUUUGUGUUCAGUAUACAUCUCAACCAACACCUAUUGAUUCUUGUAUAAAUAAAAAUGGUGUCUAAGCCUAUCGCACAACGGACCCCUCUCAAACUAAUCACCCAACCAAAAUAGUGUCUUAGCUCCAUUGUCCACCACCCUCACCAAAUUGUCCUAGUAUCCUCGCAACCCACCGUUCAUAUUAACUAUGAGUAGUGAUAUAUGUACAACUCUUUGGUACAACUUUCAUGACAACUUUGGUUUUCUCUCUUUUGAUUGGUCAAAAAUACUAGAGAGAGAAAAAGGAAGAGAGAUAAUAAGAAGAUAAUGUGAGUAUGUGAGAGAAAGUUGUCAAAAAAUUGUUAGAAAAUGGUUGUACAAAUAUCAUUUCUCAUUAACUAUUAUUCAUCAAACUACAUGUUAUUUCUAAGAAAAAAUAAAAAAAUUAGUUUUUAUAUAUAUCUUUUAUUUGGCCAAUUAGCCUAAUGAAUAAAAUUCCACCCUAUUAAAAUGAAAAAAUGGAGAAGGUAGGAAAUUCAACCCCUAUAUAUAUAAUAUAAUAUCCAUGCCAACUGAAUAUGAAAGUCUUUUGCCAAUAUAUAUAUAAAUUAAUAUUCAACUACCUAACAUGUAUGAUUUCUCGAUAAAACAAUAUAUUAACAAAAUAUUAUAGUUUAUUUCAUUUAUUCUUGAUGAUGAGAAAUCAAUAAUAACAUUUUUAUUUAUUUAUAGAGAUAAUAUAAUAUCUCUAAACUAACAUAUAACUUAUUAAUUCAUCUUAAAUUUUAACUUAAAAUACAAUUCAUCAAUCUCAUUAAUAUUAUAGCAUGAGUCAUUAUACUAGUUUUUUUUUUUUUUUUAGUAAAGGUCAUUAUUGUGUAACCAAAAAAUAAAAGAAAAUAUUCUAUAUUAAAAUUUCAGAGCUGCCGUUCCUGUCACAAUUAAUUAAUUUUUCUUUUUAUAUUUUGAUAAUUUCAGAACUCCUUAAGUUCAAAUUGACAGCGAUGAACGAUAAUGAAAGACGCCCACUUAUUUUGAAUUUUUCAUACAAAUGUGUGGCUAGACGUGGCCAUAUAAUUUGUAUUCAUGCGUACCCAUCCGAACCCCGUUUCGAAUAUGAUUUGGACAACUUGAAUUGGAGCUAGACUUGGUUAAACAUAACCAUAAAUCUUUUAUCUAGAUACACACUCAUUAAUAACAAAAAGUAAAGGAGGAAAAAAUAAAUUUUAUUAUUAUUGAAAUUAAUGAAUAAAGUGUCGUGACGGAUUCAGAAAUGUUGACUUGUGGAAACAAAACUUUAUAUAAUACUCCCUCCGGUCCUAUUUACAAGAGAAAUUUGACUUUUUAAAUACAUUGAAUAAUGUAUGUAUCUAGUCAAGAACCUAAUCCAAAUACAUAAAUUAUUUAAUGUAUCUAAAAAGUAAAUUGUUUCUUAUAAAUAGGACCAGAGGGAGUAAAUAUUUAAAGAAAAUUUUUAAUAAUGCAAAAGUGAUAUAAUAAUAACAUCAUUAUCAUUGAGAAAAAUGCUCAAUAUUUAGAAAAAUUAAAGACUCGUCAACAUCUACAAAUUAAAAUUGUUUUUACGUGUCUUUAUAUUCAAAAAAUAUGGUAGAAAUUAAAUUUCAUCUCAAAUGCAUUUACGCAUUCGAUUUUAUGAAAUUCAUGAACAAAACUUUUUUUUAUGGUAUAAAUUUUAAUUUAAUUGAGGCAAUCUAUUAUUUUAAGAGAGAGCAACCAUUAAAAUAUAAAAAAUUUAACAAAUAUAACCAGAAGAGUAGUGGGGGCAGUUUCCCCCAUACCACUCUACCUAGAAUCGUGGUUGAUGAUGUGAUUGUUAAUGUGGUGUGCCUAAAUGCAAAAUAUUUAUUUUUGUUAUCAAGUAAGUAUUGACUCGGUUCGUAUUUUUUACGAUUUCAAAAGACGGUUGUGGCCUCGCCCGUAUCAAAAUUAUAUUAUUACCUCUCUUAAAUUAUAAACUCAUAAACAAAUUCCUAAAUUACAUUCAUACAUUAACUUUUAUUUUUAAGCUCAACCUUAAACAAGUCAUUUCCUCUACUUUUUUUUUUUAGAAAACCAUAUUGUUGAAACAACAUAGUUUUGAGCUUUUUUACUUAUUCUUAAUAGAAAAAAAGAUCAAAUGCCACUUUUGAUCCUUUUAGUUUAACAGAAUUCUCAAGUUAGUCCUUUAAAUUUCGAAAGUUUCAAUUAGGUUCUUUUGGUUUGACAUAAUUCUCAAGUUAGUCCUUUAAGUUUCAAAUAGGUCCUUUUAGUUGAUAAAUUAUUUCACUGUUACCGCUGCUGUCAGUCUCUGUUUAACUAAUGUUAAUGUAGCUGUAAGUUGUUGACUUGAAUCGAAAUGCUGCCUUUUAAUAGCUCGAGGGUGCAUGUCUAAACGCUACGUUUAAUGGUCACAAAUGAUCAUUUAUAGUGCUAAUAAGACAGCUAUUUACAACAAUAAAUGUCUUUCUAGCACUAUUAAACGACAUUUAUAAUACUAGAAUGAUCAUUUGUGACGAUUAAACGUAAUGUUUUGACUCACCGGAGCUUUUAAAAGACAACGUUUUGAUUCAAGUCAACAACUUAACGGCUACAUCAGCAUCAGCUAAUUAUUAACUGACAUGAGGGGGGUAACGGUGAAAUAGUUUAUCAACUAAAAGGACCUAUUUGAAACUUUUGAAACUUAAAGGACUAACUUGAAAAUUAUGUCAAACUAAAAGGACCUAAUUGAAACUUUUGAAACGUAAAGGACUAACUUGAGAAUUAUGUCAAACUAAAAAGACCAAACGUCAUAUUUGGCCUACAAAAAGUACAAAAGUUCACGUGAGAGAAUCGAACAACCCAAAAUGUUUUGUGAACCCUAUUUCUUGAUGAAUCCACGUGAUACACAACUCAGCAAGCCAUCAGAGCAUGCCUCAACGGAGAAAAACGCCGAUAUCUGCAUGGAAACCAACCCCAAAAGGGGUUAUCUUCCAAAAACUACCAGCACAAGGUCAUAGGUGUUCUGGAAUGAGGAUAAUGCGUAGGGGCAGCGCCUCUCAUCGCACCACCGCGCUAGCCGCUACAUCUAAAAGGAACAAAUUUGAAUGAGGGGAAGGCGUUGGAGAGGUGGUCGUUCAAGAGAGAAGCGAGAGAGUACUUUUUGAGAGAGAUAAGGGAGCAUCCUCCUAUCUUCCUAAAGUUACAUGCAUUUCUUAAUUUUGUCUAACAUCCAAUUUACCCUCUAUACCGUAGAUUUUUUUAAAAUACUCCCUCCGGUCCUAUUUACAAGAUAAAGUUGAUUUUUUUGAUACAUUGAAUAAUGUAUGUAUCUAGUCAAGAACCUAAACUAAAUACAUAAAUUAUUUUAUGUAUCUAAAAAGUAAAUUGUCUCUUGUAAAUAGGUCCGAAGGGAGUAUUUACUUUUUUUUGAACAAAGUAAAAUGAGACAUAUAUUAUAAACAAUGGCGAUUUACCGUGCACAAGACAUGCAAAAGGUAAACCGACCAAUCAAAAUACAACAGUAGGGUGCUAAUUUAGAGUAACACCGUAAAAAAGUUACAAAAAAACUACACAAAAACACCCAUGCAGGGAAGUGGGUGUUUCCACCAGUCAUAAUAAGAAUAAAUAAAAGAUAUAUGCGAUGAUUUCAGCCACAUAAACGAGUUCAGCUUCACUUUUUCAGCUAAAGAAGAAGGAUCACAAACCGUUUCUUGGAACACACGGUUAUUUCUUUCCUUCCAAAUGACCCAAGCAGAAGCGAACCAUAUUACUUUCAGAUAAUAAUGAGUGGCUCUAGGAAAGCCGGCCAAAUUAGAAAAUUGUGUAAAAUGCCGCCGAAUAUCACCUGGAAACACCACAGAUAAACCUAACCAAUGCAAAAUAUGAUCCCAAAGCGUACUAAAAAUAUUACAGACACAAAACAAGUGAUUUGCGGUUUCAUAGGCACCACAACCUGACACACAAACCGAGUUAGCUAACAGAAGAACACGCCGAUGAACCAAGUUGUCUCUAGUGGGAAGUCUAUUCCGAAAAAGGCGCCACACAAAUAGUGACACCUUAGAGGGUAUGCUCUUAUGCCAAACAUCUUCAACCAGAGUCUUAUCCACCACAUUACCAUUAUCAGUGAGAAAACGAUAAGCUUCCCGUACCGUAUAACCACGGAUAGGAUCUAACAACCAAAUCCAAGAGUCAUGAACAUUAACCUGCAAAACGACAUUAGAAAGUAACAUAGAACAUUCCUUCACACUUUCCUCCUCCCACGCCAAAAGUCUCCGGCUCCACUCCCACCCCCACCUCCAACCUCCCAACCGUCCCUACUCAUGUCCUCCACCGUACACUCUUUGCGUAAAAACAAAUCAAAAAGACGGGGGAAUUUACAACAUAAAGGUGUAUCCCCCAACCAAUUAUCAUACCAAAAUAAAGUAUCCCUACCAUCUCCUACCCUCCUACGAAUGUUGUCAUCAAACCACCUCCCAACACCCUCACCUAACCCCUCCCUAAUCCUACACACUGACCGCCACCACGGAGAAUCGAGGUGUCCUCCCUCCUCCAACCGUCCCCCUAUCUCACCAUAGCGGGCUUUAAGUACUUUAUACCACAUCCCCUCCUUUUCAUUCAACAUCCUCCAACACCACUUCCGCACCAACGCCAAAUUAAAAGCUCCCAUCCUCCUCACCCCCAACCCUCCGUGCUCCUUUGGAGUACAAAUCGACUCCCAAUUUAUCCAAGCAAUUUUCCUAGAGUCCUCACCCCCACCCCAAAAAAAAAAUUAAAAAUAGAUUCAAUAGAGGAAAUUAUACCUGCGGGGGCUUUGAAAAAGGAAAGAAAGUAAACAGGAAUGGAAGACAGAACAGAUUUCAGAAGAACCAAGCGGCCGCCAAAAGAAAGGAAUUUAUUACUCCACAAGGACAGGCGCGAAACAAUUCGAUCGACAACAGGUUUCCAAAAACUAAGUUUCCUUGGAUCACCACCAAUAGACAACCCUAAAUAGACAAAAUGGAUAGUUCCCCUUCGACAAUUCAUAACCAACGCCGCUUCAGUCAACCACGAAUCCGAAACAUUCACACCCGUCAACAUGCUUUUAAGAAAAUUUACCUUCAACCCCGAAAUCUUUUCAAAUAAUAGCAAGACGGACCUCAUGGUUCUGACGUUCAACCAACUUUUCUCUCCAAUAAUAAGGGUGUCAUCCGCAAACUGCAAAUGAGUUAAAUAAACAUCACCUGAUCGACCAACUUUGUACCCUGAAAACAUAUUAGCAUCAACCACCGCUUUCAUCAACACAUUGAAACCUUCUGUAACCAACAAAAAAAGAAAAGGUGAUAAAGGAUCUCCUUGUCGAAGGCCCCUCUCAAUAGGAAACUCAUUCGCCGGGCUACCAUUAACCAAAACUGAUGUUGUUGCUGUCCCAACACAUUCAUGAAUCCACUUCCGCCAGAGUCUCGGAAAAUUCAUAUUCUCCAUUACCAUGUCCAGAUACCUCAGAUCAACUGAAUCAUACGCCUUUUCGAAGUCAACUUUAAACAACAACAGUUCUUUAUUCAUCCUCUUAGCUUCAUCCACCGCUUCGUUAGCUAUCAAAAUACUGUCAAGAAUCUGUUUCCCCUGAAUAAAAGCCGACUGUGACUCUGACACAACAUUACCCACUACUAAACGGAGACGAUUGGCGAGGACUUUAGCUAGCACCUUAUACAGACAGCCCACUANAGAGAUAGGCCGAAAAUCAUGGAGUCUUUGCGGACUAUUAACUUUUGGAAUUAAAGCUAUAAAAGUUGAGUUUAUACCUUUUGUAAGUUUCCCAUUCCGAUGGAAAUCUACCAAAAACCUCAUAAAGUCAUCUUGAAGCAAAUCCCAAAAUUGUUUGAUGAAACCAAAAUUGAUGCCAUCAGGCCCUGGGCUUUUGAAGCUAUCACAAUCCCACACCGCCUGUUUCACCUCCUCAACUGAAAAAGGUUUUGUCAAAUUCCCAACCUGAACACCAGUUAAUUUUCGAAAAAGAAGAUUCUCCACACCCCACCGAUUAGCCGCACUUGAUUUAAAGUGAGAAGAGAAAUGAUUAAAGACCGCAUUCCGAAUAGCUUGAACACAUUCCAAAUUAACCCCAUCGACAGACACACACCUAAUAGCAUUGUGACGCCGUUUAGCAGACAUAACUCCAUGAAUUUUUUUUGAAUUUGCAUCUCCUUCCUUCAACCACUGCAAUCGAGAAUUUUGCCAGUGUACACUAGUCUGAGUUCGAGCCAAAGAAUGGAGAUUCACAGAUAAAUCACGUAAUUCCAGCACCUCAUUUUCCUGAAGUUCCGACAACUCUGCCUUUGUAUCUAAAAUGGAUAAUUUAUUUUUUACCUCCGACUUCCUUCCAUCUAAAUUCUUAAUAUGCUAACACUUUAGGUGAAAAAAAAGAUUAUACUUUUAUGUUAAAAAAUAAUUUAAAAAUAUUUUUACAUUGUCAAUUAAUAAAGUAAAAAUAUUAAAAUUUGAUUAAAAUUAUUUUUAAAUUCAUAUACAUGAUUGCUUGUGAUUAUUUAAAAAUAGUAAAAAAAUAAUAGUUCAACCGUAUAGUGAAAUUAAACUAAAAAAAAGGUGUACCGCAAUAAUUUCAUUCUCCACCUUUUAUUGAUUUUGUUUUUUCCGGCCCCUCCCACCAUUUAUUUCUGGCUCCACCCGACAAUCAAUUUGUGUCGAGUGUUUAAUCUACACAAUUUUUUUUAUUAUCUACAUUUAUUUAUUUUUUAUUUCAUUAUUAUUUAUCAGUUAAUAAAUACUUCCUUCGGUGUCCCCGUGAGCUUAGCUCAGUUGGUAGGAACAAAUGCAUAAUAUAUGCAGGGGCCAAGGUUCGAACCUCAGAUACACUACUUCUUCACAUUAAAUAUGUGUGAGCUCCAGCCACUAGGCUACCUGACCAAAAAAAAAAAAUACUCCCUCCGAACAUACUUAUAAGAAAUACUAGAAAUCCGACCCGUGCUGACGUCAUAUAACAAUAAAUCAUAAAUCAUACAAAUAGAAGAAAUUUAAUUCCGUUCAAUCAUACAAAGUACACGAUUUAGGAUACAUUCCAAGUCAUACAUAUUAAUAGAAGAACUUUAAUUUCGUUCCAUCAUACAAAGUACACAAUUUAGGAUACAUUACAAAAAACUUCAUGAUAAACAACAUUAGACAUUACAUUAGUGUCUUCACGAUCAUCACAAUUUUGUUUGUUUUUUGGAAACUAAUGCUUCUAAGUUGCAAAGAAAUUGAUGGUUCUUAUCUUACUAUUAUUUUGUUCCCAAUUUGUAAGGUGUUCAACUAAUCAAGCUCAAACCUUAUAAGAGUGAGGUUCAUGGUGUUUUGUUAAAACUUGAAUAUGCAAUUAACAAUGACGGCCCUUUUAUGGUGGUGUUAUUUUAUUAAUAUUUUGACGGUGAUUUAUCAUAGUAAGUGCAACAGAGUGUGAUAUAUAUAUAUAUAUAUAUAUGAGGAUGUAUACUAUGAGAAUGAGUAUUUUAUAUGAGAAUGAUGAGAAUAAUUAUCAAUCAUCAGAUUAAAAAUAAAAGGUUGCGAUUAAAAAUUCUUAUUUAAACAACCCAUGUGCCUCACUUACACUUAGUGUAUCCACAAUACUCAUUCAGCUACCCAUUCAUCGCUUCAUCUUCUUCAAAAUCUCCAUUUUCUGCAACUUUUUCAUCUAUCAAAUCUUCAUUGUAAUUUCUUUCUGCAAACAAAUCCAUAGAAACAUCUCUUUCAUCAACCCAAACAACAUUUUUUGUGUUUGAGAUGUGAAUUGAGGUUUUUGUUUGUUUUUCAAUCAACUUCAAUUAAGUGUAUUCCUGUUUCGAAUGAAUUUCAAAUUUUUGAUUUCAAUCGGAACUCUUGUUUUUGGAUUUUCAAACUGUUGUAUUUGGAUUUCCAAAAUCUAUUAUCUACCGAAGUUGUUACUAGGUUGAGUCGCGACCAGGUCGCUCUCUUUAAGACGUUUCGCGGCACUGCCCAAAAUUGUGCAAGGCAGACUAUCAACCACGCCGCCUCCAGAAUAAAACAAGCCCAGCUACUACUGUUUGAUUAACUAAUGCACUGUAGAAAAUCGUUCGAGAAUUACACCUCCAAAUAUGGUGCUAAGACCACUCUUUAAUACUGAAACCACUUUAAUAUGGUAUUGUUACCACUCUGUUAUGGUGCUGAGACCACUCAAAUAUGGUAUUAACACCAUUCUAACUUUAAGUUCUCCAAACUAUCAAUAUGGUACUACGACCACUCAAAUAUGGUGAUACCACCAUUUCUCCUCAAAUAGAAAAAUAUUGAAAUACUUUUUAUAUAUACCCUUAAGAUCAUUAUUAAUUCCGACGGAACAUUGUUAUUCCAAAUAGGGACUAUGAUCUUAAAAGUACUCUUUAUUCUGAAGGGACAUAUAUUAUCGAAGAGAUUAUGUUUUAAGACCAUUCUUAAUUCCGAAGGGACAUUAAACCGAAAAGGGACUAUGGUCUUAAGAACAGUCUUAAUUCCGAAGGGACAGAAAGGAGUAGAAAAAGGAGAAUGACUUGUCAACACAAGUCGAAUGAGGGAGAAGAGAGGAAAAACACAGAAAACAUCAACUGUGAAUUUCGGUGUGUUUUUGAACUAAGUGGAGUCCUCUAUUUAUAUAGAGAUUCUGUAACUGUUUUAGCAAAAAUUGCGACAACAGUUACUCUAAUGGAUAAGAUUAAAAUGAAGUUUAUCCAUUAAUCAGUUCAACAACACUUGUGAAUAGGAUGAAAAGAAACAAAUCCACAAAAGUGGAGGAAACAAACUAUUGGAUUUGAAUGAAGGAAAUAUAAUAAUAAUUAAAUUAUUAUUCUUAUCACAACCACCAUAAGCUAAAUUUAUGUAAAGUGAUAUUCUCGAAUAAAUUAAUAAUUAAUAUUAUUUUUAUCAUUACCAAGUAUUUAAAAUUAAAUACCACAAUUUAAGCACUACUAAUGUGUGUGUUCUAUUUUAUGUGAGACCCCCACACUCUAUUUUUUCAAUUCACACAACAUUAGAUCAUAGUAUAAUUACUUGGUGUUUAAUCUUCCAAUUUUUUAUCCAACAUCACAUCAAUGUUCCAACAAUUCCCCACUUGAAUUUUAAAAAUGGUUUCAAUAAUAACGUCAAAACGUUUCUAUAAGGUUGCUAAUAAACAAAGGUGUCGCCUACAACUUGAACCUUUGCAUAGCGGAUAAUAUUCUGAUUUAACAAGAGUUGCUUACAGCAUUGAACUCUAUCUCAGACAUAGAACCCACACACAAACCUUUUCCUAAGGUGUAUUCUAAAAGCUCGUGCGUUUUAUGGCCUUGCACGUCUAUCCCGGUUUUAACGAACGUUCUAGGUAUUCUGCCCCGAAUACCAUAGGAAUCGGCCUAAGUUCCACAUUCGUAUAGGUGAGUCUAUCAAGAGUACUCCUGUAGCUAGGUACUCCACUCCACAUAGAGUAUAGAUCUCAUUAAGAGUUUCUAUUAUCUCAUCCUUAUGUCACUGCAGGAAUCAUGCUUUCUUACUUUUCUCAUGCAUGUUCUUUCACUCAUGACUUGUCAUUACCCAUUGAACCUAUUUCUUGGGAUCUCCAAUCAUGUAGGUCGGGUUACCAUUACUAGUGACCUUUGGGCAUUAGUCCCAUAUUCCUAUUGGAUGUGUUUAGGACUUUUUUUCUAGUAAUUCCUUUCGUCAAAGGAUUGACUAAUUCUUUAUUUGUACGUGCACGAUAUACUUUAACCGUUCCUUUUAGAGCUCUCUAAUUAUUCUGUGUUCGUGCCUUAAUUAUCGUUUCUCACCAUUGUGGUAAUGAUUCUCAAUUUUGUAAUAGAUGCAAACUAUCACAAUAAAUUAACACUUCGGACAACGGUUUCACCCACUGAGGGUUCUUAGCUAGCAAGCAUCUUAUCAACUUGCUUCUUCACUAGUUUUCUCUAGUGUUCUCAUCUCAGAAUCAUUCCAUAAUAUCAUUUGUUUCAACAAAUAACUCCUCCAGUGAUGCUCAAUUGGCAGUCACUGGUCGCUUUGAGACUCAUCUGAAGGAUGUUCAAUUUUUUUUUUUAUCUUGUACUACUCAUGUACAAUAUGAUACUUCUCAUUUGUAUCUUGUAACAUUCAAGUACAAUAGGAUACUUCUCAUAAUGUAAUCCUAGAGUCAUAAUCUUCUUAAGGCACCUCAUGACUCUUUCAAUAGCAUGACAAUGCUUCUCAUCUGUCUACUAGUAAACUUGAACAAAAGUCUUACGACGUGGCCAAUGUCGAGUCUAAUACAUUCAAUGGCAUAUAUAAAGACUGCCAAUGAUGCUUACCCUCAAGUGUUCUUGAAAAGCUUUACACUUGCAAGUUUAUAGUCAAAGAAUUACAUUUCCUUAAGAUAUUCUCAACUUUGUGAGAUUCAUCAGAAAAGUUUUCUUUUUUGAUCUAGUAAUCUUGAAACCAAGAAUUACUUCACCUUUGUCUAGGUCUUUCUUAUCAAUGUUGUUGAUAAACAAUGAUUUCACAUAAUUCAUAACAUGAAUCUUUAAACCAAAUAUGAGCAAGUCGUCUUCAUAGAGACAUAUGAUCGUGCAAAUAUUAUUUGUCACUUUCAUUCACUUUAUACUCAUUCGAUAGCAUUAGAAUGUCAAAUUUUUCAUGUCAUUCUUUAAGAGUUUAUUUUUUACCUCACAAAGAAUUAUCUAACUUACAAAACUUGUUUUCUAGUCCAUGAAUCACAAAACCUUCAGGUUGUUUAAUAUAGACUUCUUCUUCUAGUUCACCAUAAAGAAGGCAACUUUCACAUCUAUUUGGAAUACUAUCGAGUUAUGAACGGCGGCAAAAGGGACUAGUACUCUUAUGGAUAUGAUACUAGUGACUGGUGAAUAAGUGUCGAAGAAUACUAUAUUUUUCUGUCUAAAACAUUUGACUACAAGGAGAGCCUUGUAUUCAUUGAACCGUAUCAUCAGGUUUUAGUUCUUUUUCCUAAAAUCCAAAUACAACCGGUUAGUUUGCAACUAUGAGACAAGUCAACCAAGUGUCUUGUUUUGUUAGACUCUAGAAAAUCCAUUUCAUCAUUUAUUGCUUCUUGCCAUAAUUCAGCAUCCAAUAAGGAUAUAGCUUCUUUAAGGCUUAAUGGAUAUUCUUCCAAUGUAUAAACCGAGUUCAUACUCUUUAGCUAUUCUAGCUUUCCUACCUCCUCGAGGUUCUAUAACAUCUGGUACGAUGUUUUCAUAACUAUUUAUGAUUACAUGAAUGUGAUCAAAUAUAGUGCCCCCACUAGUUCUUAAUUUUUAGAAGGGAAUUUAUUUUGCCCCCAAUAAUGUUGUGCUCCCACUAGUGCCCCCACUAUUCUUUAGUUAAAGGGGUAAAUAUAUUUCCAUAGAAAUCGACAUCUUUUAAUUCUAUGAUCACUUUAGCAUUUAAGUCAUAAACUUAUAUGCUUCGCUGUUUAUAGCAUACCUAAUGAAUACACAUUCAUAGGCUCUACUAGUGAGUUCAACUCUCUUGGGAUUCAUAGUCAAAAUAUAGUCCAGACAAUCCCAAGUUAAAAAAUAAGACAAGUUGGAUUGUCUUUUCUUCAAAAAUUUCUUAAUUAGAAUUUUUGUUCUUAGACUUGGGUACUCUAUAAAUUUCAAUUUUCGUUAUAAAAAUUGAACAUAUCAAGCAUAUCAAUUUUAUUUUUCAAAAUUCACAGUCAUCAAUAAAUAUGAUAAAAAUAUCCUUUCAUCAUUUCUACUUUAUGUGCCAUCAAAUUCACACAUAUCAUAAUUUAUUAUGUUUAGAGAUUUAUAUCUCUAAAUUCUGAUUUAUAUGAACUUUUGGUUCAUAUAUCUUGACUGCAAUAAAUAAAAUUGUCUAAUCAUAUAACUUUGGAAUUAAAUCCAAGUUACUCAAGUUUAAAAUUAAACGUUUGUUCACAUGACAAAUUUUGAUAUGUCAAAUAUUAAAAUCACACAACUAAUAAAAUAGAAGGAAAAUUUAUUUUGAACAUACCAUCAAGGACACAUCUUUUCCCACAAUAAUGCAUGAUGCACAAAUCUUUCUUUAAGUUUGAGCUAACUCAGUCUUAUUCAAUAGAAAUCUGAAAUUCAGAUUCUUUCUUAUUUUAAAAGCAUGCAACAAGUUCCAAACCUUAACAUUAGCAUCAAGGGAAAAUGGGUAUUCUAAAUUCUUGCAUUUUAAUAUGCUAACUUGCGACUCUGUAUACCCAACAAUAUGCCAUAAAAGUACCUAUAGCAUUUAUAUAAGGGAACUUCUACGGUACACUCACAAAGUGAGGUGUACCGGUACUCUUGCUCAAUAAUUUUAUAAAUUAACGAUCAUUUUUUGUGAAAUAAAUAACUAUUUAUCAACAUUUAUAUUUUAUAGAACAUUAUUUCAUAAGAAAAAACAUCAUUGCAUUGUUUAUAAGAAUUUUAGUAAUAUUUUUACAUAUUAUCGUAAAAAAAUAAUCAAUGUUCUCGAUUAUGGGUGAUAAAAAUUCAAAAAAUAUUAAUUUUAAUUCGUUGACACUUUUGAUGAAUAAGAUUUAGUUAUUAUAAUUAUAAAUGAUAAAAAAAUAAUUUUUUUUUAUCAAAAAACAACUCAUUUAACUAUUAGUUUAAAGAGUGGAUGUACCGGUACACUCAAAUAUAUUGGAUGUACCAUAGAAUUUCGCUUUUGUAUAAUUCGUUGCAUAAGUAAUAAGUUAUGGCCAUUCUUCUUACUGUUUGAAAAAACUGACAUAGAUUUUUCAAUUCUGGUUACUGUUUUAGUGACAAACUAAACUUGUUUGGUUCUAUAACGAAUAAUUUGUUUUGUAACAAAUUAUAGUCUUAAUCAAAUAUUGUUCGAUUUUUUAUUUUAUUCACGGUAUGAUUUUGAUUUUUGAAAACAAAUUUCAAUCAAAUUCAGAGUCACAUUAGUGAAUUUCUUAGUGUUAUUGUUUAUAACUACAAUCACUUUUUCAGUCAAAAGAUGUAUUUAUAUAGUUUGACACAUUAUUUUUGGAUUUCCAAACUGUUGUAUUUGGAUUUCCAAAUUCUAUUAUCUAACGAAGUUGUUACUAGGUUGAGUCACGACCAGGUCGCUCUCUUUAAGACGUUUUGCGGAACUGCCCAAAAUUGUGCAAGGCAGACUAUCAACCACGCCGCCUCCAGGAUAAAACAAGCCCAGCUACAACUGUUCGAUUAACUACUGCACUGUAGAAAAUCGCUCGAGAAUUACACCUCCAAAUAUGGUUCUAAGACCACUCUUUAAUACUGAAACCACUUUAAUAUGGUAUUGUUACCACUCUGUUAUAGUGUUGAGACCACUCAAAUAUGAUGUUAACACCAUUCUAACUUUAAGUUCUCCAAACUAUCAAUAUGGUAAUACGACAACUCAAAUAUGGUGAUACCACCAUUUCUCCUCAAAUAGAAAAAUAUUAAAAUACUUUUUAUAUAUACCGUUAAGAUCAUUCUUAAUUCCGACGGGACAUUGUUAUUCCAAAUAGGUACUAUGAUCUUAAAAAUACUCUUUAUUCUGAAGGGACAUAUAUUAUCGACGAGACUAUGUUUUAAGACCAUUCUUAAUUCCGAAGGGACAUUAAAACGAAAAGGGACUAUGGUCUUAAGAACACUCUUAAUUCCGAAGGGACAGAAAAGGAGUGAAUAGGCCAAAAACCCCCUGAAAUUGUAACUUUCGUCAAAAAUCCCCCUGAUUUUUAAGAAACUUCAAAAACGCCCCUGAAAUUAUCAAACGUCAGUCAAUUACCCCCCUCCGUUUGUUUUGGCUGUUAAAUGACUAUUUUUUAAUUUCUUUUUGCUUUCUUCAUCUUCUUCCUUCCACUUUUUUCAUCAUCUUCAUCAAUAUUCAUAAAAAAAUCCAGAAAAAUUUUAAGAAACAACAACCAUUAACAACAUCAUCAUUAACAUCACACACUUUAUAAUGAUUCUCUCUCUCUUGUUUGUUACCUUCUUGAAUUAAUCAACAACAACCUUUUGGAAUUCAUCAACAACAAAAUGAAUAAUAGAAAAGAUCAUGAACUUGUUUGAAAAAGAACAAGGUUUAUGAUGAAUAGCAUGGACAACAACAUCAACAGCAACGGUUCUUCUCAUUCUCAUGAUGUUACUGUUCCAUCAUCACUCAUGUCUCCUCUUCAGAAUCAAUCACUUUUUAACCCUCAUUCAAAUGGAUUUCUUUUUUGGAGCAGCGAUGAGAUUACCAACAACAAUGAUCAUCAUCAUCAAUUGUCUCUUGAUCUUUCUGCUACGACCCUUUUGGAUAACAAUGAGCAACAAACAAGAGAAGCUAGUAAUGAGAUGAUGAUGAUGUUGUUAAUGGUUGCUGUUUCUUAAUUUUUUUCUGGAUUUUUUAUAAAUAUUCAUGAAGAUGAUGAAAAAAGUGGAAGGAAGAAGAUGAAGAAAGCAAAAAAAUAAAAAAUAGUCAUUUAACAGCCAAAACAAACGGAUGGGGGUAAUUGACUAACGUUUGGCAAUUUCAGGGGGGUUUUUGACGAAAGCUACAAUUUCAAGGGGGUUUUUGCCUAUUUACUCGACAGAAAAGAGUAGAAAAAGGAGAAGGACUUGUCAACACAAGUCGAAGGAGGGAAAAGAGAGGAAAAACACAGGAAGCAUCAACUAUGAAUUUCGGUGUUAAAAUGAAGUUUAUCCAUUAAUCAGUUCAACAACACUUGUGGGUAGGAUGUAAAGAAACAAAUCCACAAAAGUGGAGGAAACAACUAUUGGAUUUGAAUGAAUGAAAUAUAAUAAUAAUUAUAUUAUUAUUCUUAUCACAACCAACAUAAACUAAAUUUAUGAAAAGUGAUAUUCUCGAAUAAAUUAAUAAUUACUAUUAUUUUUAUCAUUACCAAAUAUUUAAAAUUAAAUACCAUAAUUUAAACACUACUAAUGUGUGUGUUCUAUUUUAUGUGGGACCCCCACACUCUAUUUUUUCAAUUCACACAACAUUAGAUUAAAAUAUAAUUACGAUAUUUAAUCUUCCAAUUUUUCAUCCAACAUCACAUCAAUGUUCCAACAUUUACCAUUGACACGCCAAAAUAUAACUGUUAUAUAAACGAACAUUUCUUUGGUUUUGUUAUACAUAGAUAAAACAGUUAUUUCAUAGUUAAGCAUGGUUGCAAAGCAUUUGCUUUUAAUAGCAGAAAAAAUAAUCAUAUAAUAAGGAACGUCGACCAAUAUUACAUUACCAAAACUUAGAACUCAUCAUAUUAUCUAAUUUAUCUGAAUCUUAUUGCCCUUUUAUAUUUUGUAAAACAAAAGUUUAAGAUGCAAGAACAAAUCUCUUUAAAAAUUAUAAGCAAUUAUAACAUAUGGUAAAAGUAACAAAAACUUUAUAAUUAUAUUAAGCAUGAAGACUCGUACAUAUUGAUUGAAUACAUAGUUCAAUACUGAAAAGAAAAAAAACUAAAAGCACCACAUAAUAGAUCCUUUCAGAAUUUAAAACGCAAAUUGAUACGAAGCUGACAGAUUUCGUAAAUUCCAUUCAUCUUUUUCAAACACGCAUACGACUAACAUAGAGAGUCUUGUUGAAGCCGGGAGCUGGAGCACCGAUCUUUAUCGUUUCACCCUGCUGAAUUCUUCAUGCAUCUACCAUCCUUUUCAACUGAAGCAAGAUUAUUAUGGGAGUAAUGGCUAUACCAGUGAGGAAUUGGUAGGAGAGCAAUGCUAGGAGUGGACGAUCUCCCAUGCUUGAAACAGGUAUGUUACGAAUUUGCUUGGAACAAUGGCAAAUCAAGCUGCUCACGCAACAUGGCUUAUAUAGUGCAAGCAUGGACAUGCGAAAGAGGGAGGGGUUUAAAUCUGCAUAGAGAAGCCGAACUGUUAUGUUUGGAAAAUGUAACAGAUGAUUGAAUUGAAUUGAAUGUCUUAAAUGCAAUGGAAUUUACAUGGCUCGGCUGAACUGAAGGGUUGAGGGUGGGAAACUUCAAUUUCAUAGUGCAAUGCUGAUUAAGAAAAACACUUAGUGGGAAAUAUGAAUUGCGGCUAUAAUGGGAAUUAAAUAACCAAGAAAUUAGUGUUAGGGGAAACUUCAGUUUUUCCUUUUCAUUACAUUGUAACUUACAAAAAAUAGUUAAUAACUACAAAAUGAGAAAUAUGAUUUGCGGCUUGUCAUACCUCAUAUUUGAUUCCGAGUCGGGCUCUCUUCUCUCAAUUAUUCUAUUUACUACUUCUAUUUUUUAAACUUCCAUCUUUUAUUAAUUUUCUUUUUAAUUCUAAAUUGAAUUUUAGUCCCUUGGUCUUAUUUAUCUUUUUAUUUUCCCAUAAAAAUCCAAAAAUAUACAUGUUCAUUCCUUUUUAUUAUUUUUUAAGUGAUAAGUCCAAAAGAAAAGUCCCAAACACAGCUCACAAACAGCUAAUCCCAGCCUGUAAUGUCUCCUCUCCAAGCAACAAAAUUUUGCUCUAUAAAUACAAGCAACCCAUAUCGCAACCAAAUCAAAUCCGUACAAAACCGAACCUCAUCAACAAACCUACACAGAUCCAGAUCAAGAAAAAAAAACAAUAAAAAGGUAGUAACCCUUUUUGUAGAUCUAGGGUCCGUUAAACCUCAUUUCAAAAAACCGUUUUCAAAAAAGAGAGGAGAAGGGAAAGGGUAAUCUUUUGGUAAAAAAAAUCAAAAAAAGGAGGAGUUUUUAACUCCGGCGCGGUGGCGCCGCCGCGAAAACUCGCCGACCACCGCGCCGGAACUAUCUCCGGUAGCCUCUCCUCGUCGAAGAAGAUGAAGAAAUUCUAGAGAGAAGGCAGAGCUUCUCUCUCUAGAAAUGAGAGAAGAGAGAGAAAAAGAAAUAAAAAUGAACAUAAAAAACCGGAGCUGGCUAUUUAUAAAGGGAUUGAACCGGUUCAACCUUUAAACCGGUCUGAACCAGUCUAAUCCAAGCCCACACGCGUCUGGCCUCACCCAAGGCCCAAAUCCUCUUCAUUUUAUUUUCUGCACCCCCCUUUACUGCUCACACACCCUCAGCAUCUCUUUUUUUUUUUUUAAUUUCUUUUUCAUGCAUUUUAAUUCUCUCUCUAUCCAGAUUGCUCUGGUCCUAUAUUAACUGUUAAUAUUAUAUUUUUGUUUAAUUUAAUUAUUCUCUAGAACAAUCUGGUCCUUGUUAAAAUGAACAUAAAAAAGAGAGAAGAGAGAGAAGAAGAAAUAAAAAUGAACAUAAAAAACCGAAGCUGGCUAUUUAUAAAGGGAUUGAACCGGUUCAACCUUUAAACCGGUCUGAACCAGUCUAAUCCAAGCUCACACGCGUCUGGCCUCACCCAAGGCCCAAAUCCUCUUCAUUUUAUUUUCUGCACCCCCCUUUACUACUCACACACCCCCAGCAUCUCAUUUUUUUUUUUAAUUUCUUUUUCAUGCAUUUUAAUUCUCUCUCUAUCCAGAGUGCUCUGGUCCUAUAUUAACUGUUAAUAUUAUAUUUUUGUUUAAUUUAAUUAUUCUCCAGAACAAUCUGGUCCUUGUUAAUUAAAUUAAUCCAGAGUGCUCUGGUCCUAAUUAACUGUUAAUAUUAUAUUUUUGUUUAAUUUAAUUAUUCUCCAGAACAAUCUGGUCCUUGUUAACUAAAUUAAUCCAGAACAAUCUGGUCCUUGUUAAUUAAAUUAAUCCAGAGUGCUCUGGUCCUAAAUUAACUGUUAAUAUUAUAUUUUUGUUAAUCCAGAGUGCUCUGGUCCAAACUUAAAAUGUUAAUAUUUAUUUAUUUUUGUUUAAUUUAAUUAUUCUCCAGAAUAUUCUGGUCCAUGUUAAAAUAACUUCACAAUUCAGCUUAACUUCAUUUUUCUCAUUCUGCUUAUAUAAUUUUCAUAUCUUUAUUCCAAAACAACAAAAAUAUUCAAAUAACAAAUCACAAAAAUAUUUUUUCAUUACAAACCUUGAUUCUCAAAUCAAGUGAUCGUUCUUUUUAUUCUUCUUAAUCAAAUUUCAAAUCAAGUCUAAUUCAACUUCAAGUCAAUUUCUUUCAAUCUAAAAAACACAAACCAAUUCUCAUUCGUCACUUGGCUUUUUAUUUCAAAACCUUUUUCAAAACAUAUAAAAAACACAAAACCAAUCAAACGUCAAUUUCUACCCCGAACUACGAGGUUUUGAUCCCUCACAGGUACGUAGGCAGGGGACCUUGUCCUUCCAAAUGAAUUAAAAAACAAUUUUCUUUUUUUUUCUUUUCAACUUUCAACUAAAAAAUAUUUUUCUUUUUUUCUCUUCAAUUAAAAUCAAUUUUCUUUUCUUUUUCAACUCAUCAUUCAAUUCCAUUUUCCAUCUCUUUAAAAGCAAGCAAGUUGUAGCACCAAAAGUUAAAUAAAAUCAAGAGGUUCUCGUAGAGUACUAUGAAUAUUUAGGGUGCUAAUACCUUCCCUAAAUAUAACCAACCCCCGAACCCUAAAUCUUUUCAAAAUGGAUGGUUUGGAACUUUUUCCCCUUAAAAAAAAAUUUGUUCAGUCGUGAGAUAAAAAGUGAGUCAAAAGUCAAUCAAAUGGCCUUGACGUCCGAAAAAUGGCGCGACACGGCUGUAAUGAGAAUUAAAUAAGCAAGAAAUUAGUGUUAGGAGCAACUUCAAAAAAUAGGAAAAAUUGAGCAAAGGACCUGAAACAACAUAAAGCUUUAAAAAAUAGGAAAAGAUAUUGAAAACAGACGUCGUAAUUGUGAGAAAAAAAUAAGCAUAUCACCUAUCAAGCAGUGAUAGGACAUCAGAGUUUCAAUACCACGACAUUCCAUUGCAAUGAUAGAAAAAUGGACGAGAUUGAAUUUUUUUAAGGCGUAUAGUUGUGAUAAAAAAUUACGGUAUCACUAGAAUCAAGAGGCGCUAAAGCUUUAAGUUGCGUAGGGAGCUUUAAUCAUGCGCAGGAGUCAAAUGUGUGAAUUAAAUGCGAUAGAAUAAAUUCUGAUCGAUUGAUUAGGAAAUGCUCUCAAAUUUGAAAUGAAGUGCUUUAAAUUAUUUAAUGUAUGAAAAACAAUUUGAAAUAAAAUGAAUUUAUUGCGUGUUAAAAGGGUGAGAAGGUCAAACCUGUGAAUUAACUGCGUGGGAGGGAAAUUGCUAGGUUAGAUUUAGGGUUAGGGUUAGCUUGACCAGACAAACUUUAGUAAGUAAGAUUUGAUUUUUUUUAUUCAUUACAUAAAUGAUAUAUUUGGUUUAUAUUUUAGACAAGAUACAUCAAUUACUUAAUGAAUCUAAAAAGUUAAAUUUUUCUUAUAAAUAAAACCGGAAGAAGUACCAUGAACAAUAACAAUCUUUCACAGUAAUAUGUUUAGUGCCACGUGAGUCCUGUAUUUUCUAUGUUCUUGUAGGACGUAAAAAGGUUCAAAACUUUGUUUGUUGAGAGAGAAAAUAUGUGUUCCCAUUUAUGGGACAUUCUGAGUAUGAUUGGUGUUAUUGUUUGAUAGUGGGGAGGAGUGAUUGUCUUCUAACUUCUAAGUUCUAACAAUUAGGUUAGGGUUAAAUAUAAAUAAAAUAAAAUAAAUUCAAAGGGGUGGUUGGAUGAUUGGGGUGUGGUAUCCUCAUGGGGGUUGCACGUGAUGUCUCAAAUCACUAACCCGUAAUUAGUAAUUAGUGUUCACAUGAUUGGGUGCAUAAACCAUAUAGAUUCAAUAAUCAUAUUUAUUAGGGUAUAAGUCUUUCUUUGAUGUUGUUUGUAAGAGUUGUACUUCUUCGUUCGUCAGUUUAAUGUACUUUAUCGAUGAAUUUUUAUAGAAAUAUCAUCCGUAAAUUUAAAAGGAGAGGUAAGAACGGAAUACACAUUAUAACGCAUUCAUCAUUUUUUUGGAAAAGCUUAAUAAUCAUCGUUACAAAUACAUAGUCUGAUGCAAAUUUAUACAUGAUUUCUCCCGAAGAAAUAUCUAUCUAUACUAUAUAGUGGCAAGAUAGAUAAAUACACCAUUAUAUCAACACACAACAUUAUUUUUAUUCAUGAAAUAUAUUACUGAGAAAGAGUACAUGGUGCAUGAAGAUAGAUAUCAUUAUGAUCAGUUUUGAGUUUUGUCCUCAGUUUGCUCGGCACCGUGACCACCGUGACCACCUCCACCAUGUCCCCCGUGUCCACCUCCACCGUGGUUGUAACCACCUCCACCGUGGUGGUAACUACCUCCUCCAUGGUUGUAACUACCUCCACCAUGGUUGUAACCACCACCAUAUUUGGCAUCAUUUACUUCAUUAGUCUUUUCCUCAGUUUGCACGGCAACAGAUUCAGCAGCACCAUGACCACCGUGACCUCCUCCACCAUUGUAACCACCUCCACCGUGACCUCCGUGGCCUCCACCACCAUUGUAACCACCUCCGCCAUGGUUGUAACCACCUCCACCGUGGUUGUAACCACCUCCGCCGUGGUUGUAACCACCACCAUUGUAACCUCCUCCACCAUGGUUGUAGCCACCUCCACCGUUGUUGUAACCACCACCACCAUGGUUGUAACCACCUCCACCGUUGUUGUAACCACCACCGCCGUGGUUAUAACCUCCACCAUUAUAACCACCACCACCGUGGUUGUAACCUCCACCAUAGCCUCCAUAUUUGGCAUCGUUUACUUCAUUAGUCUUUUCAACAACUUCUGAAACACGAUAUAUAUGAAUUGUUAAAUCAUUACUUCAAAUAUAUAUGAAUUUAAUGGUAGUGGGUUGACGAUAUAAAAUAACUUUGUAUACAAGACUAAUCAAAAUAUUUCAAGUUUCCCUGCAAAUUAAAAAAUAUUAAUUGAUGUGGUGAUUCUAAAUAUUUUCAAUGGUUUUGUGUGCAAAAAUUUUUUGAACCAUCAACCAACCACCAUUAAACUUAAUAUAUAUAUAUAUAUAUAUAUGAUUAUGUAUUCACACCGGCGUAAUGUUUGAAUAAUUUUACAUUUCUCACAAACUUAUUGAAUAUAGAAUUAUACCAAAUUUAAAAAGACUCACAAUUGAAUAUAUAAUAUAAUUAUAUCAUAUUGAUCAUCUUUGUAAGUUAUGAAGCAAAUUUGAAAUCAUUUUAUAUAAAAUUGAGUGCAUGAAGAUUAACGUUUACAUAGAAAAGAAUUAAUUAUAACGUAUAAAAUUAUAUAAUUAAGUAUAAAAGAAUUAUCCUUCAAAAAAGUAGAAAAGAAUUAAAACAUAUAUCUAAAACGCUCAUGAAAACAUAUAUAAAGAAACAUAAUAUAAUAUAUAGCUCACCCUUUUUAGUAUCAGUGGAAGUUUCAGUUAAGUCCCUAGCGGACAUCACUGAGGAAAUAAGAGCCAUAGCCAAUAGGCCUAGCAUGAGGAUUGCCUUUUUCGAAUCCAUUGUUCAAAUGUGAUAUUUAGUAGUGAACGAUGAGAAAAACUAGUAAGAAGUGUACUCUAUAUAUAAUGGAGGGAAGGAGGGAGAUGUAGGGACCUUCACUUGGCAGUUGAGAAGGUAGCUCUUGUGUAUUAAUUCAUUACUUUGUAGGUUCAUAAUGUAUCUAGUCAUAUUAUAGAUCAGAUACAUUUCAUCAGCAAUUAUAUUGAUGAAACUUCUUCUUGUUCUUGUUCUUGUCGAAUGAGUCUUCAACUAUUGCUUCAUCUUCACCUCUCAUCAGCAAUUCCAACGAGCCUUCCACUUUUUCUUCCUUUUGAAAAUUCAUGAAGUCUUUUUAUUUUUCUUCUCUCAAAUAUAUUCUUUUACUUUUCACUUGAGAUUUUUAACAAUUGCUACUCAUCUUAUUUAUAGAAUUUUAACUCUUCUUAGAACCAUUGUCUAUAACAAAAUUUUGUUUAAAUUUGAAGAUAAUGAGAAACAAACUUUGUUUAAUAAAAAACUUUGUUCCAAAGAGAUAGCAUUAAUUUAGUUUUAUUGAAAAAGAUAAGAGUAAUUGAUAAAGGAUAUAAUUGAAAAAUCGUACGCUUAAAAUACCAAAAAGACAGUUAAAUAGUAACGAAAAAUUCAUCCAAAAAAGACACUUAAAAAGAAACGGAGGGAAUAGUAUUUCAUAUCUUAUUUAUGUAUUAACAAAAAAUAUAAAAUUUUGAUAUUUUAAAAAUAUUCGACAAAUACAAAAAUAUCUUAUAUAUUAUCAUUUGCCUAUAUAAUAUACGAUAGUAAAAAAAAGAUGAUUAAAGUAUGUUAGGUAAAUAAUGCAUUUAGUCACUUGUUUUAGAAUAGAGUAGUUGUAAAGAUUGAAGGCUAUGAAAAUGGAGAUGAGUUAUGUCUACUUGCUAUUGGCUGAAAGUGACAUUUUGAAAGCAUGCUAUUGGUUCAUACUAGCUAUCUCAUCCCAUGGAGAUACAUACAUUCAAACUUAUCCAGACACAUUCAUAAUAUGUUUUCUAUAACUAAACAAAAUUAGCAAAAGAGUAUUACAGAGGUAGACUCUAAACUUUUUAAAGAACAGUGAUGUUGAAUACUUGUUUGAGAAAGUCGUGUGUAGGCAUAAUCAUUUAGACACAAAGUUUAGGCACAUACACAUAAAUAAAUAAAAUUAAAAGAUAAAUAAAAUAGUUACAUCAAUCAAUAUCACUUUAAUUAUUUUCUUUUUAAUGUUUUAUUUCAUAGGUGUGUGCCUAAAUGUGAGAUGUUGGUCUUGUGAUCAAGUUAGAGUUUCUCAACUAGCUUUUACCGUCGUAUAAUUUUAUUUGCUUCAAACGAUUACACAAAUUAAGAAAGAAUCUAUGUUUCUCAACUAUAUUAAGAAAACGAGUUGUUAGAACUAAAAUAUCGAAAUAUAAAAUAUGAAUAAAUGCUUUCUUAAUUCAAAGAGCAAUGAUAUCGAAACAUAAACUUUGCAAUUUGGUUAUUAGUUGAAUAUAAUCCGGAUGUACGAUCUUGGAUCGACGGCUGAGAUUAUUUUUCCGUGUAAAAUUAAUUUUAUAAUUUGAAUAAUUGAAUCACAAAUCAAUGGUCAAGAUUCACUACAUCGUAAAACUGCGUGUUGUUUUUCCAGCAUGGAAUUUGGGUCCCUAUACUCCGAUUCAUCACAAUAAUGAAAUAGAACUAUAAAUAACCUAUCGUUACAGAGGUAAACACAAUUGACUGAACUACAUGCAUGAACAAAAACCAAGUCUUAUUUUCACGUGAUUUUUGUUUCUUUCAUACCGGUUGUGGUUCUAAAACCUUCCUAAUUGAUUCUUACAUCCACCCUUAGCUAAGAUUCUUAUUUGGGACUUGGGAGUGUCACUCCGAAAGUGAUACUAUUAGAGGACACAAUUGAAAAAAUAUAUAUCAUACUGAAAAUUUAAUGUGACAAUUAUUUUACGAUAACUAUUUACAUAUAUGUCACUCAUCGUUUAACGAAAUAUGGUAAUGAUUUUUCUAAACACCAAACAUUUUGUUAUGACAAUAAUAUUUUAGUUUUUAUUAAAUAAGUAACUUUUUUUACAAAGGAAAACUUAGGUGAGUUGGACUCCAAGCAUUAAAAAUAUAGUUACAAAGCACACAUAACUAAAAGAUCUUUAUAUUAACAACGGAGAUUGAACUUACGAUGAUGUCAAUCAACUCAUUAACAACUGAAUCAACAUUCGCUAACGACCACGACCCACGCCUUCCCCUCCCUUACUGUUCAACUGAAGUACUAUGUUGAAUUAAAUUGCCAGCAACAAACGAUAACGAGACUCACCCACUUAUUCGAGUUUUCCUUUUCCUUCAAUUCUAACAAAAUUUAUGCAUUUAAAUAUUUAAUGUUUCUUUGUUUUUUCCUAUAGAUACAAAUUUGCGGGUAUGAGCAUUUAAUGUUAAGCAAAAAUAUCGCCAAAUAACAUUGCAAUUUGUGAAAAAUAUCAUGAUUAACGAUCUACUCGUCCAUGGAUUAACGGCGGUAACAUUGUUGCUGGCUCCAUUAUUAGUAAUUAGUUCUAUGGUCGACUCAAAUGAUCUAAACUGUAAACUUAACUUCAAAUGUUUGCUAGAACUGCAAGACAGAAAAAGAAAGAAAAGAAAAACAUAUGUAACGUGAAAAUUGAAAGUAAGUUCCAGAUUGUAUGAUAAAAAGUAGAGUUGUUUGGUAAAGCCUAUAAUUAGUACCAUUGUUUUAUCAUAAAUUUAUUUUGAGAUAUUUUUUUCUUUUUUGCAUAAUUUUAUUAAAAUUGAGGUGUUGUAAAUAUUUUUAUGAUCUCUUACAUUUAUUAACGGUGGAUCAUUUGGAAAACAUCAAAAUUUCAAUUAUAGCUGCAUAAUUUUUAGUUAGACUUUCUUUACUUCCUGACCAUCAGGGGUGGGAAUAGGUUAGGCCGAGUUAGGCUUUGCAAGGCCUGAGCCUGAUCUGUCAAAUUUUAUGAAGGACUAAGUCUGGUCUGCGGUCUGUCAUAAACUUACUUUUUAGGUCUGAGUCUAACCUUCUGAAAGUUUGAUACGGUCUGCUAGCCUGUUUAAAAGCAUAUUUCAUAUAAACAUCUUUAAAUAAGCAAUGUUAUCUAAGUUUAAAUAGACUAACGAACUAAUAUAUCAAAUAGAUUAAACUCUCUUUUGAUAAUCAACAUGACUUUUUAGAGAAUUUGAUUAUAUAUUGUAUCAUAUUUCAAUUCUACUUUAUAAUAAUACAUUUAAAUAUGCAAAAAUAUAAUGUAUACUAAUAAACUUAAAUUACUAAAUUACUGAAAAAGUUAACAAAUUUUUAUUUUAAUUCAAAGUACAAAAUAUAAUAUAAUAAUAAAUAAUAUUAUUCAUAUUUAGGCUUAAUUACCUUUUUGAUCCUCUAACUAUUUAGUUGGUAUCAGAUUGAUCCUCUAACUAAAAAUUGAUUUAUUUCGGUCCUCUAAGUUUCUCACUGUUAUUACAUUUAGUCAUUUCUGUUAGUUUUAUUCAAAUAAACGUUAGAGUUUGUGUUAUGUGGGUAUCUGACCUCCUGUUUCACACAUACAUAUGAACCAUAACAGUUACCAAUAAUAUCAGUCACUAUUUAAUCAUAAUACCUUAACAAUGAAUAUGACCAAAAUGAUACUAAUAAAUAAAGUUAGAGGACCCAUAUAACACAAACCCCAACGUUUAUUUGAAUAAAACUAACAGAAAGGACUAAAUAUAGUUAUAGUGAGAAACUUAGAGGACCGAAAUAAAUCAAUUUUUAGUUAGAGGACUAAUCCGAUACCAAUUAAAUAGUUAGAGGACCAAAAAGAUAAUUUAGCCUCAUAUUUACUUAAAUAGUCCGGCCUAAUAGGCCUAAAAGGCUUUUAGAAUGACAUGUGGUCUGACCUUUUAAGCUAAAUGGGCUUCUAAAAAAGUCUAGGCCUUCUCUGUUUAGGAAAAAAGUAUGAUCUGGCCUAGCCUAUCGUAUGUAUGCUAGGUCGUAGGCCCCUGUAGGCUGGCCUGACCUAUUCCCAUCCCUACUGACCAUACUCGGAUCACUAAGAUAUUUUUCUCACAAAGAUAGAGAUAUAAGACCGAAAAACACAAUUACGUACACUUAUUCGUAAAACAAUCUUACGUACACUUGUUUGUAAAAUGAGAUCAACCAUGAUAAUAAACAUGUUUUAAUUUCAUAAACAUAUUUAACAUUUUUUUUUAUCACAUCAUUAAACUAUCAUAUAUUAAUUUAUUUAUUUUUUCAUCUUUAUUUUUAAAGCAUACUCCUUUCGUUUUAAAAUAUAAGUAAAUUUUACUUUUUAGGUUCAUUUAAAUAAUGAUGUAUAUGGUUUAUAAUAUGGGUCACAUACAUCAUUAAUUGAAUGAAUUUAAAAAGUAAAAUUUACUUAUAUUUUGAAACGAAGGGAGUAUACAAAAGAUUUUCCAAAUGAGAUAGAAAGAUUUUUCUUUUCAAAUGAAUGAUUGAUCCCAUAUUUAGAGAAGGGGCUAGUUGUUUCCUAUGCAACUAACAAAAUAGACCACUCAUCUGAUAACAAGGAAGUGAGAAGAAUUCACAGAACACUUGGAUAGGUCAUUCAAAAAAAAAAAAAACUAGCAUAAGUCAUUUGGUGCCGCCAUUCAAUUAAUUCAUUUCAUACCGACACUUUGACAAUAUUGAGGCAUCAAAUGCAAUCGUUUUUUAUUUUAUUUUCUAUGAUUAAAAUCGACAUUGUUUUUUGGUGAGAUUCGCAAGUGGCAAGCCACGUAACUGUACAAGUUCAACAUGCAUUUGACUUUAGCAAAACAAAUUUCAAUCUUAGAUUAGAUCACGUGUUUGUUUUCAUUUGUUAGAAUCCAUUUUUCUAGUGUAGUAUCCGUUUAAGAGGAAAUGAAUUUUUAAAGUGAAAAUCUCUCUAACUUUUCUCAAUUGUUAUAUUAAAAUCAUUAAACAUGAAAGAGAAAAAGAGAUAUAAAAUUAUAAAAAAAAAAAUAUUAAACUUAUGUUUUAGAUGUAAUAAUUGAGAAAAAUUAAAACCGUUUCAAUUUUUUUUUUAAAUGGCCAAAUAUUAUUAACCACUAAUAAGCUUGGGUGGUAAAAAAUACAAAGAUUUAUUUCCACAUUAAGAUGGUUGUAGGUUUUUGGGUAAAAUAUGUUUUAAUCAGUCUAAAUAUAUGUGCUUUCAAUUUUAGUCUUACAUAAUUUUAAUAGUAAUUGUAAUUGGUCCUUCAUGUCAAAUGGGUUGCUAUUUGAGGCUUUGAGCUAAAGGAAUUUGAGGGAUUCUUCCAUGCUCACAAGACCAAAUCAAUAGUGAUUGGACAUAAACGCAAAAAGAUGGUCUUUAAAAUAUUCAAUAUUUAAUUAUUCUUUUGGUCCCUUAACUUAUUUUUUGGUUUCGUUUUGGUACCUUAACUAUUAAAAGUUUUAUUUUGGUCCCUUAACUUAUUUUUUGCUUUCGUUUUGGUCCCUUAACUAUUAAAAGUUUCAUUUUGGUCCUUUAACUUACUUUUUGGUUUUGUUUUGGUCCCUUAACUCAUCCUCUGUCAACCACUUUGGUCUUUUAUAUUAGGAUGAAUGUAUUAGAGUUAAGGGACCAAAAUGAAACCAAAAAAUAAGUUAAGGGACCAAAACGAAACCAAAAAGUAAGUUAAAGGACCAAAACGAAAUUUUUAAUAGUUAAGGGACCAAAAUGAAACCAAAAAAUAAGUUAUGGGACUGAAACGAAACUUUUAAUAAUUAAGGAACCAAAACGAAACAAAAAAAUAAGUUAAGGGAUCAAAAGAGUAAUUAAGCCUUUUUUUUUUUUAUCAAUUUCCUCUUUAUUAUUAAAAAACUAUUCUUUUUGUUUGUGUGUCAAACACUUUUUAUUUGGUCAUGUGACCAUAUUAAAAUUUCUCAAGGAAUCAUGACUAGAUACGCCUCGUGGACAUUUUGAUUGACGUACGGUGUUGACUCGUGAAUAAACAUUAGACUCAAUUGUUAUUUCAUAUAUGUAUCAUCGAAAUUUUAGAGACAUUGUUUUAAAACUUACUCUGAUUCAUCAAUUUAUACUUUUUUAAUUUAAACUAUCAUAUGUUUAUUUUAAAAAAAAAUCAUGAAAUAAAAAAAUUAAAAAAAAUAAAAACUCAUGACCAUAUUCUCGAAUCCCAAGUUCCCAAUUUCUUCUACCUAAUUCCAUGAAUAAUAUGAGUGUUUCACAUAUAUGAGUUUGAUUAAUUUUUCACAGUAUUGGGUGUGAGGAAUUUUUCAAGCACUACCGACAAAAGAAAUAGAGAUCACUUCGUCGUUACUUUGCACAACAAUGUCUUAAUCAUUCUAAAAAAACACUCUUCAUAUCUUUAAAUUUAGGCAUUUUCAUGGAAAAGUGAUGUUUGUCUUUAGAAAGUGUACUAAAUUGUCGUUAAGUAGUAAAAUUUAUAAGUUAGUAUCGAUGUAGAUUGUGAAAUCUCAAUUUAACUACUACGAUAAUAGUUUGGAUAUAUACAAUUGGGGGGUGUUUCACUUGGCAAUGGUUGGAUUAACUGUUCUUUAAAGAAAAAGGUAAGACACUGAUUAGGUCAUGAUAGAUCUGCUUCUCUUAAUUACAUAGAAACUUGCCGCCUUGGUUGCAAUUGUUCGAAUAGUUUAGUUUCACGACAUUUGAUCAAAAUAGUUAAGUUAAUUUUUAGUUCACUAACCUUUUUCUCUUGUUACGACCCCCUAAUGUCUUAUGUGAAACUAUAUCAAUUGAAGGCUUGAUUAUAUGCCAAAUUAUUAUCACAAAGCAGUUAGCUCAAGCCCCGAAGCUAAGGUUAGUGGUCAUCGAGACCAAAAUUAGUUUAUGAACAUUCAUAAUCGUAUAAAAAAGCAUUAAGAACAAUUAUAGCUGAAUAAAACCAAGCAAUCAUUUGUAAUCAAAAAACUUUUAUGGUUCGGAUUUUGGGAUAAGGGAGAGAGAGAAAGUGAAAAGUUUAAAUGUAAAACUGUAAAAUGCGGGGAAGGAUGAUUUUUCUUAUAUAUAUCAAAACGAUUCAGAUUAUAUAAUCUGAACCAGUUUUCGUAUUAUUUUAAAUUUCAAAAUCUGAAGGGUAGUUUUAGAAUUUUUAUAUGGUGCGUGGGUAUCUCAUAUUGUAGGAAAAGUAAUAGUCCUAAAAUAUUAUUGGUAGAAAAAUGUAUUGGGCCAUGGGAAAAAAGUUGGACUUUAGUGAAAAGAGUAAUAGAUUGUAAUCAAUUUAAAAAGUAUAUUUAUUUAUUAAUUAAUUAUUCGGUUCAACCGGUUUAAUUAGUUGAACCAUAAACCGGAGUCUUACUGGUUUAAUCUUCGGUUUGGUUUUAAAAACAUUAAUAUAUAUAAUAAUAAUAAUAAUAAUAAUAAUAAUUGUACCAAAAAAAAUAAAUAAUAAUAAUAAUAAUAAAAGUAGUUUGACGACCCAAGAUGACCAAAGACUGACAACACCACCAAAAAGAAUCAAACAAAAAAAACACCAACAUAAAAAAUAAAAAUAAAAACAUCCCAAUGACCCAAACCAAAAGCAGAAUGGACCAGGUCAACUACACCAAAGAGAAAGAAACAUAGGCACCCAGACAAGCCCCCCAAAGCACCCAUACAAGCCCCCCACAUAGCAACUACCGGCUCAAGUAGAGAAUUGCUUCCACCACUCACUCAUAGUGAGGGCAAGGCGAACCAAGGUGGGACUUAUAAAAAAAACCAAUAACACAAAGAGAACUGGGUCUUCAGAACCAAUUCCUCCACAUCUAGAAUCUUACCGACAAACACAAAAUCAUUAAUGUAACAUGUGUCACAUUGCGUGAAUGUUGUAAAUUUUAAGUACUAAUUUUGCUUUCUAUUCAUAAAAAUUGUGACCUUUAACCGAAAAAUUGUGAUAUAUUAAAAAUAUGUAUUAAGAACAGGGCUGACCCAAGCUAUAGGCAAAUUAGGCAUUUGCUUAAGGCCUUGAUUUUUUUUAUUUUUUUUUUACCUAUUAUGCAUGGUACCAAUUUUUUUUAGCGAAUCUCAUAUUUAUUUAUGGUGAUAAAAAAUUUAAGAGAAAUAAUACAAGUUGUCGAAUGAUAUAGCGAUUGAUUUGCUUAAUUUUAUAGAAAGACUUGGUUUUUUUCCAGAUGUGUAUAUUGGUUAUAGAAUAUAAUGUUAACAAUUCAUAUAAUUGUUGUGUCUGCAAAUUUGAAUUUGUUUUACUGUCGAUUCAAAAAGAAUUGUUAAACUAAACCGAUUACAAUAAUUUUGCAUCCAAAAAAAAUCGAAAUCACUUUGAAUAAAAAUAUUAUUUUUGUAAAAAAAAUAUAUAAUUAAUAAUUUCUUUUUUGUACAAACCAUGCUCCAUUUUAGAUUUCGCGUUGAGCAUCAAUAUGUGUUGGAACGGUCCUGAUUAAAAAAGUUUUAUGCUAUGUAUUUUUUUACCAGUGAAUUAUAGAAAUCUCAUCCAUAAAUUUAAAAAGAGAGGUAAUAAGACAAGAUAACACAUUCAUCAUUUUUUGGAAAAGCUUAUCAUCAUUACAAAUACAUAGUCUGAUGCAAAUUUAUACAUGAUUUCUCCCGAAGAAAUAUCUAUCUAUACUAUAUAGUGGCAAGAUAGAUAAAUACACCAUUAUAUCAACACACAACAUUAUUUUUAUUCAUGAAAUAUAUUACUGAGAAAGAGUGCAUGGUGCAUGAAGAUAGAUAUCAUUAUGAUCAGUUUUGAGUUUUGUCCUCAGUUUGCUCGGCACCGUGACCACCGUGACCACCUCCACCGUGUCCUCCGUGUCCACCUCCACCGUGGUUGUAACCACCUCCACCGUGGUGGUAACUACCUCCUCCAUGGUUGUAACUACCUCCACCAUGGUUGUAACUUCCACCAUGGUUGUAACUACCACCACCAUAUUUGGCAUCAUUUACUUCAUUAGUCUUUUCCUCAGUUUGCACGGCAACAGAUUCAGCAGCACCGUGACCACCAUGACCUCCUCCACCAUUGUAACCACCAUGACCUCCUCCACCAUUGUAACCACCGUGACCUCCGUGGCCUCCACCACCAUUGUAACCACCUCCACCAUGGUUGUAACCACCUCCACCGUUGUGGUAACCACCACCACCGUUGUGGUAACCACCACCGUGGUUAUAACCUCCACCAUUGUAACCACCACCGUGGUUAUAACCACCAUGGUUGUAGCCUCCAUAUUUGGCAUCGUUUACUUCAUUAGUCUUUUCAACAACUUCUGCAAACACAAUAUAUGAAUCAUUACUUUAUUUAUAAUUAACUAGAAAAGAAUUUAAAAAAUAUAGAAAAUGCUUGUGAAAGUAUUUAUAAAGAAAAAUAAUAUAUAGCUCACCCUUUUUGGCAUCAGUGGAAGUUUCAGUUAAUUCCCUAGCAGACAUCACUGAGGAAAUAAGAGCCAUAGCCAAGAGGCCUAGCAUGAGGAUUGCCUUUUUUGAAUCCAUUGUUCAAACUUUGUUCAAAUGUGAUAUUUAGUAGUGAACUAUGAUAAAACUAAGUAAGAAGUGUGCUCUAUAUAUAAUGGAGGAGUGAAGUAGGGGACCUUUACUUGGUAGUUGAGAUGGUAGCUAGUGUGUAUUAAUUCAUUACUUUUUAGAUUCACAAUGUAUCUAGUUUAUAUGAUAGGCUAUAUACAUCUUUUAUACAAUUAAUCAAAAAAAUGAAAUUUUAUUUAUAAUAGUGAUCGAAUAGUGUAUAUAUCUAUAAAUUUUAAACUAAAAUAGUUGUUUGAUGAUUUCGAUACCAUUUAUUUUGACUACUUCCUUCGAUCCAAAAUAAAUGAUCUUGUCGAUUGUUUUAAGCAUAUCAAUGCACAUCUUUGAUUUUUAAUACUCUCUUCAUCCUAGAUUAACUGAGUCAUUUGCUCAUUCACACAUAUUAAGAAAAAUGUAUAAAUGAAGGAGAUAAAAAAAUGAUUAUAAGUGUUUUUGUUAUGUAUUUGUGCAUUCUCCACUAUCAUAAAUGCAAAGUAUAAUAUAUUGAAUUGAAAGUGAUGAAAGUAGUAUUAAUUAGAAGAAAAAAUAAUUAAUAUUGUAUUGAAAAAUGAAAUGAAUCAAUUAUUUUAAGACAAUAUUUUUUUACAAAAAGUUCAGUCAUUAUGAGACGGAGGAAGUAUUAUUUAUUUAUGUAUUAACAAAAAAACAUAAAUAAAAAUUGAUAUUUUAAAAAUAUUCAUUGAGACAAAUAAAAAAAUAUCUUAUAUAUUAUCAUUUGUCUUUAUAUAAUAGUAAAAAAAAAAAAAAAAACUAAGUGAAUAAUAGACAUAGUCAAAUAAUUUCAUAAUUGAGAGAGUUGUAAAGAUCGAAGGCUAUGAAAAUGGUGAUGAGUUAGGUCUACUUGCUAUUGGCUGAAAGUGACGUUUUGAAAGCAUGCUAUUGGUUCGUACUAACUAUCUCAUCCCAUGGAGAUACAUACAUUCAAACUUAUCCAAACAAAUUCAAAAUAUGUUUUCUAUAACUAAACAAAAUUAGCAAAAGAGUAUUACAGAGGUACACUCGAAACUUUUUAAAGAACAGUGUUAUUGAAUACCACUCCUUUCAAUUAGAUACAUAUCACAUUUUAUUGAUGAUAUAAAUGUUUAUUAUAAAUAAGAUUAGAUGAAGUAGCCGUUAACAUCUUAUAAUUAUAUUUGCUUGAAAUGAUUACACAAAUUAAGAAACAAACUAUGUUUCUCAACUAUAGGUUCUUUAAUUACUCUAAAUAGUAAGAAAAACAUAAGUUUUUCUGAGGGAGUAGGAAAAACAUAAGUUAAAAGCUUAAUACAACUCAAAUUCCUAGAAUCCCUCGGCUAUGAGUGGAAAGCUUUCGUUUGGUGGAUUUGGAUCCUCUUUAUUGAAAAUUUUCUUCAAUUUUCUCCAUUUUCAAUCUUCACCAUUAAAAUACAACUACUAUUUGUUAGUAUAAUUUAAUUAUCACUUUCUCUCUCAUGAUUGAUGGUUGAGAUUUUACAUGAAAAAAUUUGAGAGAAUUUUCAAUGGAGAGAAUCCUAAUCCUCGUUUGGUUUGGUUUUUUUGGCUCAUAUAUUCAAACCAAGUAAGAAUAAUUCAUUUGUUUUGACUUGGAUUUUACAAAUUUUUUAUUAAAUCCAAAUGAAAGUUAAGUGAUUAAAAAUGGGCCAGCUUGCCUCAAAUAAUCACUCAAGUUGAUAUUUUAAAAUUUAAUAUUUUUUAUAAAUUUUAAAAAAUUAAGUUUUCUUUAAGAAUAUUAUAGAUUUUUUAACAUUAUUUUUUUUAUCAGAGGGAAAUAAAAGACACAAAAGAAAAAAAAAACUAAACAACUCAUUGUCUAAACACCCCAAAGACAUCAGCAAGCAAGUCCAGAUCCAACUCUUUAAGAGGGGAAUUGUAACACCCCGUUUUCCCAAUAUAAAAAUUUCAUAAAUUAAUCAGAGUAAAACACCUUAAACGGAAUAUUACACUUCUUUUCUUAAAAACAUAAAUGGAAUAAUUAUCCUUCAAAUUUCAACAACGUAUUGUCAUACCCCAAUUUUUGACCUAAGGCCCCACUGACACAUGUCACUUGACUCUGAUCGAUCUCUGAUUUUUCAGUGAAAAAAUUCGGCAGGGAGGUAUUUUAAAAUACCUUAUUUUUGAUUCCGAGUCGGACCCUCUUUUCUCUUUUUAUUUUCUUUCUAUCUUUUAUUAAUUUUAAUUUUAAGAUUAGUUACUUUUUUAUAUUUAAUAAUUUUUAUUUUCCAUCUUUUAAUUUUAUUUUUCUUUACAUAAUUUAGUUUAAUUUGUUUUUAUUUUAUUUCGUAUUAGAUUUAUUUUAUUUUUAUUUUUCUUUUUAAUUAAUUAGUGUCCAAAAAAAAAAAACAAAGUGUCAAUAGGUCCAAAAUAAAAUGUACAAGGUCUAAAAAAAUUCAAGUCAAGUGUCAACUUUAACAUUUCUUUUUCAAAAUUCACCAUAAUUGUCCAUCAUUUUCAUUAAACCAAUUUUCCAUUUUUCAUCAACCUCCUCACCUAUAAAUAGAGCCCUCAUUCCACACAAUUUCACACACCAAAAGUUCUCUUGAGUUGUCAAAGAACUUUUCUCUCUUCUCCCUCUUUAGCUUGUGUUGACGAGCUAUUCUUUUCUUCUCCCUCUUUUUUCUGUCCCUUCGGAAUAAGUCCCUUCGGUAAUUUUUGUCCCUUCGGUUGUCAAUUUCUUUUAUUUUCUUGAAUUUUAUUUCUUUUUAGUAUUUUUGCAUUUUUUUUUAUUUCUAUUUAGCAUUUUAAUUAUUUUUAUUUAUUUUCCAGCAAUUAGAAUGUAUUUAGGUCCAAUGUAAAUAUAAAUGAGAAAAGUGUGUGGGUGUGUGUGUCCUUUUAUUUCUUUACCGCCUUAUAUAUAUCCAAAAUUGCAAAAAAAAAAAUAGAUCAGGGAUUUUGUGGUGAUCCAACGUCACUACAAAAAUCCACGCGCUUUUAUUUUUAUUGCUCCGUUAGUUUAAUUUUUAUUUAAUAUUCCAAAAAAACAACAAAAAACAUGCAAAUAAUCAAAAUCACAAAAAUAUUUUCAUAAUAAACCUUGAUCCAAAUCAAGUGACCGCAUUUUUAUUUUCUUUUCUCCAUCAAACUUCAAUCAAUUUAACUUUACUUUUAAGUCUCUUUUUUCAAUAUUAAAAAACACAAACAAAUACUCAUUUGCCACUUGGCUUUUCAUUUUAAAACCUUUUUCAAAACUAAUAAAAAACACUCAACAAAUCAAACGUCAAUUUCUACCCCGAACUACGAGGUUUUGAUCCCUCACGGGUACGUAGGCAGAGGACCAUGUCCUUCCAAAUCAAUAAAAAAUGUAGAUAAUUAGGUCUUUAUUUUUAUCAGUUUAAUUCAUUCUUUUCAAAAAUAAUAAGCAAGUUAUAGCACAUUAAUUAAAUAAAAUCAAGAGGUUCUCGUAGAGUACUACGAAUAUUUAGGGUGCUAAUACCUUCCCUAAAUAUAACCAACCCCCGAACCCUAAAUCUCUCAAUAUGGGGUGUUUUGAACUUUUUUCACCUUUUUCUUAAAAAAUAAAAUGUUCAGUCGUGAAAUAAUUAGCGAGUCAAAAGCUAAUCAAAUAGCCUUGAUCUCCGAAAAAUGACGCGACAGAAAUGGCGACUUCACUGAUGAUGCCCUAAGAGGGUUGAGCCUAACUUGGCUUUAUUUAAUUAUUUGUGCUAUAACUUGCUUAAAACAAAAAAUAAAAAUGAUGGAAAUACUUGUAUAUUUGUUCUCUCUUCUUCUUUCUUCUUUCUUCUUUCUUAAACGUGAGUGGUGAGAUAAGUUCUACACCCGGACUUGAGAGAAAUAUAAGAUAGGAGUGGUAGACUCAUAGUGGCAUACCGGGAGUAUACUCGUGUCUAGUCACAUGUGAGAUAACCACACUUAGCGGAGGAGCUUGAAGUGAUAUAUGUCGGCGUGUGUUUUCACGUUUAGACUUUAUUACUCUUAAGUUUCCAAUGAAGCUAAGGACCUUUAGUAACCCUUAACCCAUCCUGGCCUUUUAGGACGUAGUGCGGUGGCUAACCGGAUGUUUUCUCGAAACUAGUCGACACGCGAUACUACACUCAAAUGAGACUUUCCUACGAACGUUGUUGGACCGGGUGUUUUCUCGAUAUCCGAUAAUAUUCGGAAGUAGUCGAGGACUUUGGGAACUUGGUAGAACCCGUGAUACAGGUACAUUUGAAACCAUAGUCCCUACCAAAUGGCGUUGUUAUCCUUAAGCUCCAACAUUAUGGACUUAACCUCACCAUGCAUUCCAUGUUCCUUAGCAUAAUCAUGCAUACAUGCAUUCAUUCAUAAAACUUUUGUUCUUCUCACUAAUAUCGAAGGACUUAGAUAAGUUCUUGUAAACAUCAAUGAUAUGGACCUUGUAAGAAGGAACACCUACAACUUCAAAAACCUUAACUAAGCUUUAGCUUUUGUUAAGAAUUUUUUCCUUGGUUUCGUUCUUACUUUUGAAAUGGGAACCAAUUGCAACAUCUUCACAAUUUUCAAAUAAAACAAUGUUCCUUAUCAAGUUUACAAUUACUUUGACAAGUCCUUCAAAAAAAACAAAUGUGUCUAUUUUUGCAUAAGCAUAGCAUGCAUACAUAAUUUCAAGUCUGAGUCUUACACUGUGUCUUUUCUACUAAAGGUCAAUCCAUCUCAAAGGUGUCCCAACUGUCCUCGUCCAAAGUCAACUCGCACCUACAACACUCGGGCAAACAAAAAAAGAGAACGUAUCAGUUUGAACAAGAAAUCCACGAGCAUUCGUGAAGAGGUAACAACACUAUUGACGUUCCUUCCGCUACUUUUUGUUCAAUUAAUGUUUGUUUGUUGAUUUUCGCUUUUCAAAAAAAAAAAAAAAAAACAUCCUUUCGUCCCGCCUGAGAUGAAAUUGAUCUUGUGUAGGGCUUUUUGCUUUAAGUAUUGGUCAUCUUUAAUAAAAAGGUCGUUUUAAUCCCGACUUUAUUUUAUUUUGUGCUUUUUCUGAAAAAUGGUAAUACAAAAAACCAAAAAGAAUUUCUUUAAUCAUUCGCAUAUAUCUGCAUAAUCAUAGCUUGUACUUACUUGUCAAAAUCAAUAAUCAAAUCAUGCAUUAAUAAACCCGUUGAACAUAAUAACCAUGUACUCUCUCCCAACUUUGAGUUCUCUGUGACCGAAGAUAAGGAAGAGGAGAAUGAAGAGGCUCCCAGCAAGAUCUCUCGCCCACUGAGGCAUCUUAGCCGUCAAAGCUGCAAACAAAAUAUCAAAGAAGAUUGUCCAAAAAAAUUGCUUUCAUUUACAAAGACUGGCACGAGAUGCUACCACUUGCACUUCAUGAGUAUUGUCCGGUAGUACACACUUCAACAGGGGCAACCCCCUCCUUCCCUCAAGUAUAUAACUUAAAGGUCGUGCUUCCUAUGGAGGUCGAAGUCCCAUCAAUAGGAGUUCUGCUGGAGUCCCAACUUGAUCGAACUAAAAUGUGUGACGACCUUGUGCAUCUAUAUCAAAAAGAGGUUUGAAACAAACUUCCAACAAGAAGGUUUGUCCCCGUGAAACUCAAGAAAGAGACUUUGUGCUCAAAAAGAUACUAUCUUUCCAACCAGACUCCAGGAGCAAGUGGACGCCUAACUAUGAAGGCUCAUGUGCAAUGAAUUUUACAACUAUGGAUGGUGACAAACUUGCACUUCCUAUGAAUGUCGGUGUAGUCAAGAAAUACUCUGUCAAAUAUAAAAGCUCGAUAAGUCGCAAACCUGAAAAGGCGGCUUAGGCAAAAAUGAGCGUCUCGGUGGACUGAAAACCCAAAAGGGUGGUCCAGGCAAAAGUUAGAGACAUGAACAAAAAAGAUUAUCCUGAUAGACCGCAAACCCGAAAAAACGAUCUAUGCAAAAGUUAAGGAUCAAAAGACAAAGUAACUGCAUCCGGUCAGGCACAGUCCACUUGGGGCAUCCAGCUAUCAAAAGACCGCCGAUACGAAGCAUCUGCAGAUCAAAGACUCGAAACAGGGGCAUUCAAAGUUGUUAGGGAGAAUAGCUGUUAUUGUUUUCAAUGUACCAUCCCAUACAUUUACCAUUUUCCAAAUCUUUCAAAGAUCCGUGGAGCCAUGCCAUUGGUAGGUCACCACUCAAUUCAUCAAAUUUGAUCCUAUGCCUAUUUGUUUGGAACUCUCAUUUAUUCUAUUUGCAAAAUUUCUUCUACUUUUUAUGGCAAUACUUAAAGCAAAAAUUUUCAAAAAAAAAAAUACAAAAACUUUUUUUUACAUCUUUUGAAAAGUGUGAACAACAAACACACUCUCUUUGAACUCAUGAGUAGAUGAAGCAUACAUCAACAUCCGCCUCGAAGACGGUUACAUUCCGAAAGAGAAACAUGGCUAAGCGUUAUGGAAAGAACCUCUGCCUUGAACAAGAUGUUGUCACAGUCAAAAAAAAUAUAUACAAAAAAAAAAAUACAAAAAAAUCAAAGCUCGCUAAGUUGAAAACCUGAAAAGGUGGCUUAAGCAAUAGAGAGCGUCCCGGUGGACUGAAAACCCGAAAGGGCGGUCCAGGAAAAAAUUAGGGGCACAAAAAAGAAUAUAAUCCCGGUGGACUGAAAAUCUGAAAGGACGGUCCAGGCAAAAGUUAGAGAUUUUUUUUUAAAAAAAUGACUGCUGAAACAUACCAAUGGAGGAACACUCUGUGCCAGUUCACAAAUGGCGACUUCUUCCAGACUUUUUAUCAACGAUGGGCUUUACCCCCAGGAGGCAUCAGUUGCUCCUUGUGUCGGGUCUUACACCGUCAACGGCUCGUUUUGUUCACAAUAAUAUCAUCUCCAAUGAAGUUUGCCGAGUGCUUGUGCUGCGAUAUCAGUUCGCCUCCAAUCUUACAUGUCCUGUCUCGUUUCAUCGAGUCACUUGUCACAUAGAGUUUAUAUAGUCAUGCAAGUUGUACAUUCAUAACAUUUGUACAUUCAUAAAAUUCGUACAUUCAUACAUUGAUGCAUACACCAUAUAUAUAUACAACAUCAUUCACACAUGAUUGCAUUAGUCACCGAGAGUCUUGUUUAGCCGUGUCUCUUUGGUUAAUCCUGACCCAAACAGCAAGUGGCAGUUUCUUCAUAUGAACAGCUUGCAAUUACAAAUUCUUUUCCUCUCAAAAGUGUCAUCCCCAAUAUAACUGACCAAGUUGUCUUCUCUAAAUUUACCUUUGUUAAGCUAUCUUUGUGUGAUAUUUAGGUAAAACUUGUCAAUCGUCUUUAUUAAGUUAUCAUUUCAUCGAUAGUUAGACGAUGUUUUUCUCUCAUUCUUACCUUUGUUAAGCUAUCUCAUCGAUAGUUAGGUAAAAGUUAUCAGUCGUCUUUUUAAAGCUAUCAUUUCAUCGAUAGUUAGACGAUGUUUUUCUCUCAUUCUUACCUUUUUUAAGCUAUCUCAUCGAUAGUUAGGUAAAAGUAUCAUUUGUCUUUGUUAAGCUAUCAUUUCAUCGGUAGUUAGACGAUGGUUUUUCUUUCAUUCUUACCUUUGUUAAGCUAUCUCAUCGAUAGUUAGGUAAAAGUAUCAUUUGUCUUUGUUAAGCUAUCAUUUCAACGGUAGUUAGACGGUGGUUUUUCUCUCAUUCUUACCUUUGUUAAGCUAUCUCGUCGAUAGUUAGGUAAAAGUAUCAUUUGUCUUUGUUAAGCUAUCAUUUCAACGGUAGUUAGACGGUGGUUUUUCUCUCAUUCUUACCUUUGUUAAACUAUCUCAUCGAUAGUUAGGUAAAAGUAUCAUUUGUCUUUGUUAAGCUAUCAUUUCAACGGUAGUUAGACGGUGGUUUUUCUCUCAUUCUUACCUUUGUUAAGCUAUCUCAUCGAUAGUUAGGUAAAAGUAUCAUUUGUCUUUGUUAAGCUAUCAUUUCAACGGUAGUUAGACGAUGGUUUUUCUCUCAUUCUUACCUUUGUUAAGCUAUCUCAUCGAUAGUUAGGUAAAAGUAUCAUUUGUCUUUGUUAAGCUAUCAUUUCAACGAUAGUUAGACGAUGGUUUUUCUCUCAUUCUUACCUUUGUUAAGAUAUCUCAUCGAUAGUUAGGUAAAAGUAUCAUUUGUCUUUGUUAAGCUAUCAUUUCAACGAUAGUUAGACGAUGGUUUUUCUCUCAUUCUUACGUUUGUUAAGCUAUCUCGUCGAUAGUUAGGUAAAAAUAUCAAUCGUCUCUGUUAACCUAUCAAUACGAUAGUAGACAAUAAUUUUCCCCAGUGAAACUUCAUUCCCCUAGCAGAGUCGGACCCCUUUUUUCUUCAACGAAUUCGGGUAUCCCGUUGUUAUUUCUCAUUCGAGUCAAAUCAUCCUGCAUUCAUAAAUUGCAUCACAUGCAUCCAUAGCAUCUUAGGUCAAAUAUUGUGUACUUUGUAUUUAAGUCUCUUCGACUCGUCAAAUCAAAGAUUUCAUCUUCAAAUCUCCGGACGAAGAAACUUAAAUAGGGGCAUCUGUCAUACCCCAAUUUUUGACCUAAGGCCUCACGGACACAUGUCACUUGACUCUGAUCGAUCUCUGAUUUUUCAGUGAAAAAAUUCGGCAGGGAGGUAUUUUAAAAUACCUCAUUUUUGAUUCCGAGUCGGACCCUCUUUUCUCUUUUUAUUUUCUUUCCAUCUUUUAUUAAUUUUAAUUUUAAGAUUAGUUACUUUUUUUAUAUUUAAUAAUUUUUAUUUUUCAUCUUUUAAUUUUAUUUUUCUUUACAUAAUUUAGUUUAAUUUGUUUUUAUUUUAUUUCGUAUUAGAUUUAUUUUUAUUUUAUUUUUAUUUUUCUUUUUAAUUAAUUAGUGUCCAAAAAAAAAAACAAAGUGUCAAUAGGUCCAAAAUAAAAUGUACAAGGUCUAAAAAAAUUCAAGUCAAGUGUCAACUUUAACAUUCCUUUUUCAAAAUUCACCAUAAUUGUCCAUCAUUUCCAUUAAAUCAAUUUUCCAUUUUUCAUCAACCUCCUCACCUAUAAAUAGAGCCCUCAUUCCACACAAUUUCACACACCAAAAGUUCUCUUGAGUUGUCAAAGAACUUUUCUCUCUUCUCCCUCUUUAGCUUGUGUUGACGAGCUAUUCUUUUCUUCUCCCUCUUUUUUCUGUCCCUUCGGAAUAAGUCCCUUCGGUAAUUUUUGUCCAUUCGGUUGUCAAUUUCUUUUAUUUUCUUGAAUUUUAUUUCUUUUUAGUAUUUUUGCAUUUUUUUUUAUUUCUAUUUAGCAUUUUAAUUAUUUUUAUUUAUUUUCCAGCAAUUAGAAUGUAUUUAGGUCCAAUGUAAAUAUAAAUGAGAAAAGUGUGUGGGUGUGUGUGUCCUUUUAUUUCUUUACCGCCUUAUAUAUAUCCAAAAAUGCAAAAAAAAAAAAAUUAGAUUAGGGAUUUUGUGGUGAUCCAACGUCACUACAAAAAUCCACGCGCAUUUAUUUUUAUUGCUCCGUUAGUUUAAUUUUUAUUUAAUAUUCCAAAAAAACAACAAGAAAACAUGCAAAUAAUCAAAAUCACAAAAAUAUUUUCAUAAUAAACCUUGAUCCAAAUCAAGUGACCGCAUUUUUAUUUUCUUUUCUCCAUCAAACUUCAAUCAAUUUAACUUUACUUUUAAGUCUCUUUUUUCAAUAUUAAAAAACACAAACAAAUACUCAUUUGCCACUUGGCUUUUCAUUUUAAAACCUUUUUCAAAACUAAUAAAAAACACUCAACAAAUCAAACGUCAAUUUCUACCCCGAACUACGAGGUUUUGAUCCCUCACGGGUACGUAGGCAGAGGACCAUGUCCUUCCAAAUCAAUAAAAAAUGUAGAUAAUUAGGUCUUUAUUUUUAUCAGUUUAAUUCAUUCUUUUCAAAAAUAAUAAGCAAGUUAUAGCAUAUUAAUUAAAUAAAAUCAAGAGGUUCUCGUAGAGUACUACGAAUAUUUAGGGUGCUAAUACCUUCCCUAAAUAUAACCAACCCCUGUCAUACCCCAAUUUUGGACCGUUUAAAAACUCUUGUCCGUAUUUUAAAUUUGUUCACAUUCCCAUUUAUUCGUUGUUUUUUACCAUUUAAAGUUCGUAUUUCUUGUCUUUAGUCAUUCAAAAAAGUUUUUUUACGUUAAAUCAACGUUCGCGUUUCACAACGUUUAAAACCGUCUCACUUUCAUUUUUACGUCGCAUAGUCUUUUUUUUAAUCGUAACGAUCACGUCAAAAAAAGAGAAGGCCUAAUCGCUUUUUUUAAAAGGCGUUUUUUCUUAUUAAUCAUUUCAAUCGAAAUUUCGGCAGGGAGGAUACUUUGAAAUACCUCAUGUCAGAUUCCGAAGGGACUUUUUAUUUUUAUUUUUUUGUCUUUUUUAGUUUGUUUAUUAUUAUUUUAUUUUAUUAUUAUUAUUUUUUUUAUAAAAAAAAACAAAACAAAGAAAAGAAGAAGACAUACGUCUUCCCUUUCUUCUUUUUCUUUUUCUUUUCUUUUUCUUUUUAUUCAUUCUUUUUAUUUUUAUUUAUUUAUUUGUUAAGCCUUUGUCCCCAAGUCUCAGCUGCAGGGGCAUUUUGGUCAUUUGUUUGUACCAGAGCCAACCCUAAUUUGUCACUAUAAAAGCCUGUCAAUCAUUGGGAAAUGGGCCAGAGAAAAAAUUACUGUUCAUGAGUCAGAGAAAAACACUAUUCACGUCAGAAAAAGUCAGUCAACAGCAAUCAUACUCACAAACAAUCUCCAAACUUCUCUCUCCAAAAUUUUGGAUCAAAAACCCAAAAUUUCAUGAACUCACAUGAACCACAUCAAGAACACAUGAACCUCAAUCAUUUUCAGAAACACACAAUAACAACAUAAACACCUCAAACCAUUCAUACAACCACAAAUCAUCAUCAUUCCAAACAAAACAAAUCCGAACCAAAACAGAGCCAAACGAACCGGAGUAGAGGAGAGCCAACCGAACCGGAAAAGAACCGGAGCCGAACCGGAAACAAGGAAGAACACGCGAACCGGAAGAAGGAAGAAAAGGAGAGAACCGGACUCAAACUAGGAGGAAAGGAAACCGGAAAAAGAGGUAAAAAUUUCACGUUUUUCAUUUGUAGAUCUAGGAUUUUUGGUGUAUGUUUUCGAAAUUUUGAGCUUGGAUUUGUGUAGAGGAAGGGAAGAGGAGUAUUUUGAUGUAAAAAAAAAUUUCAAAAAAAGCAAAAAAAACUCCGGCGCGGCGGCGCUCCGGCCGACCGCCGCGCCGGAGCAGCUCCGGCCGCCCCUCUUCUUCUUCUCCGGCCGCGUGUGUUUUUGUGGGAGGGGAGAGCUUCUCUCUCUAAGUUGUAACUUAGAGAGAGAAAGUUUUUGUGUUAUAUUUGUUUUUUUGGUAAAACCCCUUUAUAUAGCCUCAUUACUUUAUUUUAAUUCCAUGCGUAUCGUUCCACUGUAUUAUCGUGUAUGAUCACAGCUAGACCGUCAGAUUGUAGAUCUAACGGUCGAUGAUGCAGCUUGUUUUUGGUUAAGUGUUUGUUCUUUUGGGUGGAAUAUUGUGUGCCUGCUGUUGAACCGUCAGAUCGUUGAUCUGACGGUCACUGUGCUUCCAGUAUAUCCUUCCUUUCUUGCUGUUUAUUUUUAAACCGUUGGAUCUUAGAUCCAAUGGCUAUGAUGAAUCCAGGGGUUUGAACUUGGACCAUUGAUUUAAUCCAAUGGUUCAGAAUUAAUCCUGCUGAGCCAAUUUGUUUAUUAUUUUCAUUUGUUAUUGUUUCUAUUUUUUAAAUGCUGUUUUUUUUUAUUUCUUUUUGACAUUUUAUGUUUAGAAAAAAAUUCCAAAAAAAUGUUUUUUUCUCACUAUUUUAAUUUUCUAUCAUUGUUAAAAAUCCAUCCUAUUUUUUUCUUUUAAUUUGUUUUUUUUUACUUAUUAUUUAUUAUUUCUUAUAUGAUGAUCUUAAAUGUUUUUUUUUAUUAUUUUUAUUUCUUGCUUAUUAUUUCUUAUGUCUCAUUCAUCAUAAUAUUUCUUGUGAUCACUAACCAUUUAAUUUUUGUCUUAGAUCAUAGCAUGCAUAUUAAAUUUUCUCAUCAUUUUAUCUUGUCAUUGGAUUAGUAUGUAUAAAUAGGGAAUUGAUGUAAUUUUAUUUCUUGCAUUUUAUUUUGGCAUAAAGGCCUUAGGGUUGUAUUUAGGAAUUGAUGUAAUAAUGUAGGUAACACAAGCACCGACACAUACACCGACACUACCACAUUUUAUUUACCGCUUUCCGUUAUUUUUUUUUUACGACGUUACGUUAGUUCUCACUGUUAGUUUAGAAAAAAUCAUUUUCACAAAAAAAUCAAAUAUGUCAAAUUCAAAAAUAUUUUUUCUUAGCAACAUUUUCCCUUUAUUUUCUUAAUCAAAUUUUUAAUCAAUUUUAAUUCAACUUCAAUCAUUUUCAAAAAUUUAAAAUCAAUCAACCUCACUCAUUUCUUUUAUCUCAUGCCUUGAGGCCUCUUUCUCUUCUUAAAACCAUUUUCAAAAAUCUUAAAAUCAACCUAACCCACCAAAGAAAUUUUUGAGUGGAACUACGUCGGUUUUGAUCCCUUUCUCAAAAGGGUACGUAGGCAGAGGACUCGUCCUUCCAAAUCAAAUAAAAAUAAACCAAAAACAUACUUCUUCUCCCUCCAUUCUUUCACUUAGACAUUAGGCAAUAAUUUUUCAAAUGAACAAGUAUUUUAGCACAAGAUAAUCUAGGUAAGAGGUUCCUACGGAAUACCGUAGAUGCUUAGGAUGCUAGCACCUUCCCUUCGCAUAACCAACCCCCGAAUCCAAAGUCUCGAAAAGGGUUUUUACUCAUUUUUUCCCUUCCCAAGAAUAAAAAUCGAGAGUUCAAAGAUUGACGAUUCAAAUCAAUUAAUGGUUUGAUAUCCAAAAAUCGCGAGCACAGAAAUGGCGACUUACCCCCGAACCCUAAAUCUCUCAAUAUGGGGUGUUUUGAACUUUUUUCACCUUUUUCUUAAAAAAUAAAAUGUUCAGUCGUGAAAUAAUUAGCGAGUCAAAAAUCUAAUCAAAUAGCCUUGAUCUCUGAAAAAUGACGCGACACGUAUUAAUCAAAACUUUGUAGCAGAAUUAAUUCAACGACAAUAAAAGCUCUAACAACAUGUUUCAAAAUUGAUACAUAAAGGAAUGAUAAACAUCGUAACAAUUUCCCAUCCUGUUACGUAUCAGAGCCCUAAGACACUUGAGCCACCUCUCCUACUAAGCUUCAUUACCUGCAAGUUACCCAUACGAAGGGCAACAUUUUCAAGCAGAAGGGGUGAGAUCUCUCAAACAAUAAUAAUAAGCAUAUAAUUCAUCAAUUACAGUUAACAACAUAGACAUCAUCAAAUCCACCCAAUAAUAAUUUUUCUUAACAUCCCCUUAGUACUCAUGAAUAGAAGACAACUUAGCCACUAUGCAUCAACGUUAUCAAUUCAUAACAAUAAUUAUUCAUCAACCAUCUCAUUAGCAAAACAUGAAUAAGGAACAACUUAUCAACUUAACAUAAUCAUCAUUAAGUACAUUUAACAACUCAUAGAUAACAUCAUGUAACAUCAAAACAGCCUCUCAUUCAACACUAUAAACAAUCAUCAUAACAUCGUCAUAAUCAUCAACAUAAACAACGUAAGAGUACACCACCUCUUAUAAACAACAACGUAAGAGUACACCAUCUCUUAUAAAACGACCAAGUAAGAGUACACCACCUCUUAUAAAAAAAACGACAAAGUAAGAGUACACCACCUCUUAUAAAACGACCAAGUAAGAGUACACCACCUCUUAUAAAAAAAAACGACAAAGUAAGAGUACACCACUUCUUAUAAAACGACCAAGUAAGAGUAGUACACCACCUCUUAUAAACAACAAUGUAAGAGUACACCACCUCUUAUAAACAACAAUGUAAGAGUACACCACCUCUUAUAAAACACCUGACAUAAACAAUCACCAACGAUGGCUACAACUACGACAUCAACAACAACACCAACGAUGAUGACAACAUCGACAAUUUGCAUAACAUACUUAUGACUUAUUCGGCAACGUACAACCCAACAACGCUUACAACUUAUACCAACAUUAGAUCUUCAUGAUAUUAAUAUGUCACAACCGCAAGACAACACCAUUAAAUAAUAUGCAGCAAGUCAACAUUAAUAAUAAUCAUCAUAUAUAACAAUUACAAUUUCAUAUCAACGUCUUUCACAAUAUAUAAAUAUUUUCACAUUUAAUCAUCAAAGUAAAUCAUCAUUAUUAAUCAUCUUGUUCAUCCUCUCUGAACCUCAUUAUAAUCAUUAACAACUUCAUUCCAACCCCAAGGGUCGACUCACAACAUAAGUUACAUACUCUUAAACACCCUAAUUGAACUCAUAGUACUUCUAGUUUUGAGCUUUGGAAUUAUCCCAUAAGUUUUGGAUUAACUUAGAAACGGUUAUACUGAAUUUUCAUAAGAUUUCACUAAGACCUCCUUGGAGUAUUUUCAUCAUAUCUCAAAAACAAAAAAUCAUUUUCAAGUGAAACCAAAGCCAUUGGAAAGCUAACAAAAUUAUCUACAACUUUCAUGUUUACACCAAAGGUCAACUCAAAACAGAAACGUGUGAAAAAGACGGAAGAACAUGAAACAGGGUAAGCAUCAGACAUACUGAAAUUUACAGAUUUUCUGUCAAAAUCGCCUCACGAUCACUGGGAUCGCCUCACGAUUUUGACAGCAUCAUACAUGCUGAUAUUACAGAUUUUUCUGCGAUUUUCUACCAUGGGAGCCUCCUUGACUCCGUUUUUUAACCCUAAACUCUCCAAAAUCAUCCAUAAUCAUCACCAUAUGAUUACCCUAUCAUUGAAACGUUAAUCCAUCACUAACCUACCCGAUUAACCACUCUUUUCACCGUUCCAUUAUAUGGUUUCUACACUUUUCAUUCAAAAGUCAAUAAUCAAAACCUAAUCCCAAUUCUCAAAUUUAACCACAACCCCUUGCUAAAUCAAAAUCAGAAUUAUACAAACUAUAAUCAUUGAGAGUUAGCCUCACCCUUACCUUAGAUUGAUGAACAAAGCUCUACACGAUCUUCUCUUGGAUACUAUUGGCUCCCUCUUGGUUUUUCUCCCAAAAAGCUGCUUCCACGUGAAAAUGUUUUCUGACUUCCCUCUUUUCUUUUCUAAACCUAAUUCAACUUCUUCUAUUUCCGCUUAAUCCCACACAACUCUCCUUAUUUCUAAAUCAGCCCCUUGAACUCCAAAUAUUCUAAAUUCCCACUUAUUCUAUUAAAUAGUAAAAUAACACAUUUAAUAAAAUAUAACACACCACAUAAUCAACAAUAAUUAUUUAAAAUCAUAUAUAAAAAGACUUUAAAUCAACCAAUAAUAAUUAAAUAAAAUUGGGUCGUUACAGGAAUCCCAUAACUUCGUGACGUCGACAUUCUUUACACUUAAUUAUCAAUCAAUCAACACAUUAGAUGUCUUCUCUUAAAGUAUGAUUAAAGAAAACCAACCAAAAAAGACAAAUGGACUUCCUAAUGAGGGAAUAUAAGUUGCAUGAGGAUGGAAAUCCUUAUGAUGGAAAUCAGUGAUCAAGUCUAACGCUGACUUAGUUAUUCUUAUACUAUUAAAAUAAGUAUACAGUUACAAUGAAAAAAGAUAAAAUAUAAUGACUAAAAAAUACAUGAAAUUAACAUAUUUGUAAUAUAAAACUAUUAAUAGGGCAUGAUAUUUAACAAUAAGGAAAAAUCAAUCCUUCAACUUCCGGAUAAACUUAAGUUGUUUUCUUUUUGGUGGUUGAAGGCAAAUUUAUAUGCUAAUUUUAUUUUAGGUUAUCAUAGUUGAUGGAUUUUCUCUUUUGUUUGCUUGGGUAAUGGUUAAUUUCUUUAUGUUUUGUUUUGAUAGGAAAAUGUUUGUUUUGGUAGUAAUAUGUUUUAUUUUUCCUUGUUUAAAAAGAGAUAUAGUAUGAAAUAUAAAUAAUUAGUGAUAAAAUAUAAUAUUUUGGUUCGAUUUACAGGUGAUUUGUUUUAAAUGAUCUGAAAACGAUAUUCAAACAAUAGUGAUCAAAUUUGAUUAGUGUGUGUGAUUCAGGUUAUACAUACAUGAGCAUAAAAAACACCAAUUUAGUUUAUUUGCAUUGAAUGUUUGCAUUCUACGAGUUAUUGGUUUGAUUCUUACACCUCAUCAUAAACAAUAUAGCAUAUAAUAUUUAUUUAUUUUCCUCUUUGUAUUAAAGGGUAUACAAAACAUUUUUCAAAUGAGAUAACAAGAUUUUAGUUUUCAAAUGAAUGGUUGAUUCCAUAUUUAGAGAAGGGGCUAGUUGUUGCCCAUGUAAUUAAUAACACAAGGAAGUGAGAAGAAUUCACAGAACACUUGGAUAGGUCAUUUUCUUUCCAAAAAAAAAAAAAACUAGGAUAGGACGUUUGGUGCCCCCAUUCAAUUAAUUCAUUUCACACCGACACUUUGACAAUAUAUAUGCAUUCGAUUUUUUAUUUUAUUUUUUAUGAUUAAAAUCGACAUUGUUUUUUGGUGAGAUUUGCAAGUGGCACGCCACGUAAUUGUACAAGUUCCACAUGCAUUUGACUUUAGCAAACAUUAUCAAUCUUAGAUUAGAUCACGUGUUUGUUCUCAUUAGUUUGAUACUCCAUAAUUUAGAAUAUGUUUUUGUGGUGCAGUAUCUGUUUAGGAGGAAAUGAAUUAAGUGAAAAUCUCUCUUUAAGAUGUAAUAAUAAUUGAGAAAAACUGAAAUUGUUUCAAUUGAGAUUCAUUUCUCCAUUAUGAUGGUUGUAACUUGUAAUUUUUUUUUUUUUUUUGGGUAAAAUAUGUUUUUAAUUCAUAUAAAAAUACGAGAUUUCAAUUUUAGUCCUGCAUAAUUUUAAUAGUAAUUUUAAUCCGUACCGAAAUGAUUGUUAAGAUAAUUGGUCCUUCAUGUCAAAUGGGUUGCUAAUUGAGCUAAACGAAUCAUGACUAGAUACGCCAUGCAAUCAUUUUGAUUGACGUAAGUUGCUGACUCUUGGUUGUAAGAAAAACAUCAAAGGAGGUUGAAUUGUGUAGUAUUUCUUAGAAAUUUUAAGUUAAAAACCAUUCAUAGAAUUUUUACCAAAAAAAAAUCAAUCAUAGAAUGCAAAAGAUAAUCAGAGAUAAGAGAAAAGAAUGACACAUAUUUUCCCCGGUUCAUCCCACAAUUUGGGAUUACGUUAUGUCCCCUCACACAACAGAGAUUUUUUUUUCUCUCACUAUAAUCACAUAAGAUUACAAUUACUUGGACACACAAAUCUAAGAUUUCAUGUCUUACCUUGAGGACUUCUAAAUUUAGAAUUUACAAAUAAGAUUGAUAGUUAUUUACACUUUAGACUCAAAGAGCGGUGAAUGUGCCUUUUUUUUUUACAUUUUAUAUAUUCAAAAAAUCAGUUAGUUCGUUCGACUCACAAAUACAUAUCAACUAAACUCUCUUGUAAGGACUUGAAUCGAGUCCUAGAUUGCUCUUCAAGUCCAUUUGUUUGUGUUUUUGUACGAACAAUGGGGAUUUACCGCAAAAUCAGGGAGUGUUACUCAUUUGUGGUUGGUCGUACACUCCUUCUUCUGCACCUUCUUUAAUAUGCAUGGGAGGGGGUGCUUGCGUAAGAUACUUUGAUGCUCAAGUCAGACGAGGUACAAACCAAGAGCAUACAUGCAUUGUAUAUGAGUAUGAGUGUGAUAAAAUUGGAAUGAUAUGAAGUUCAUCGUACCAAGGGCAGGUGCCCCCUAUUUAUAAUGGUUGAUAUGAUGAUAGACUCCUUGUUGGUUGCAAUCUAAUUUCCUUAUCUUCAAGAUGGUUUGUUACGAGGCUAAUUUGGAUAUCAUAGUAACGAACCUCCCAGAAUCUUGUAAUUACGAGUGACACAUGUAUAUCCGAGUGUAACAUAAUCCGAGGUAGAUGUGCUCAUCUAUGCAGUUUAGAUAAGGUACGAAUAUAUAGGAUCGAUCUCGUAGCUAACUAAAUGUUUUUUAUUCUUAGAGGAGCUAAAGCGUGUAUAGGCGCUUAUGUCGGUCUAUCAAGUGGCUCUUUUUUAUCUCGUGGAAGUGUUGAUGUGUAUCAGACAUCAUUCCGAGGUGUUAGUUAUGACAAGGUGGUAUGAGAGAUUAAGUCAUAUUUUAUGCCACAUGUCACAUUUAGGUGGUAAUCUUGAUAUUCUUUGACUUGGUCCAUUUGUUAGAUCUUCCUAUGUUAUUCUUGAAGAGCUAAUUUGCUUGGACUCCUUAACGAAUGACUAGCCUGGCCUAAUUUGCUUGGAUUCCUUAAUGAAUGACUGGCUUGGACCUUUUAGGCCCAUACUGGUACAUUAUCCCCCUAGCCCUUGGUCAUGCAGUGGACAAUUGGUCUAAGAGUAUUGAAGUGAAAAUUUUUGAAUUUUAUCCGAUGUAGAUAUAUUUGAUUUUUUUGAUGAUACGAUUUUAGUUUAAACCCGAUUUAGAACUCGAUUUACAGAUGGUAUACCCCAUGACUUGCAACUUAGAGGUGAGGUGAAAGUCUAAAGGAUUUUUCAUAUGAUACUCAAUGGUUUUCUUUGCCUCAUUUCUUGAGCAUUAUGACGUGUAUUCGAAGCACGACGUGACAAUGAGACAAUUGCUUUUUUAUGGGUGCAAUUUGAUAUGUUAGAUUUGUUAAUGGAAAGUUGUAUCGUUUGAUCGUACUUGAUGAAACAUUUCCAAUCAUUGAUGAACGGUUCCAUCCAAUUUGAAUACUUGCUACUUUCUCCCCCACCACCACCACAACUUGAUUUAAGUCAUGAAGUGCUUUUGCGACUCAUAUUUCCUUAUGUUUCAAAUUUUUCAUUCAUCCCUCCAGCUGAGCUCCGUUCUUGCUUUCUCUUUAUGUUUAAACAAUGUUUGUACAAAAGCGCUUUGAUUGAUGCACUCUUCUUUGAGAAUUGGAAUGAAUUUUUGUCUGAUCCUAAUGGGUGGCACCGUUAGAGUGUUUAAGGAGAGGUUACUGUUUUUUUUUUUUUUUUGCUAAUUAGUUAUCAACAAAAAAAUUCACAUACCCUAGAUUCUUAAAACUCAUUCAACAUAUCAUUUUAUCUAUAUGUGUAUCAUCAUAUCAUUUCAUUAAUCUAUCACAUCACUCUCAAUUGUCUCUUUCACUCUUUUGGGAUGUACGUCAACUAUUAGAGUGUCCAUCAAACAUUAUUGCUUACUUAUUUGUAUAUGGAUACUCCUUUCAUAAUAAUAAUAAUAAUUAAUAAUAAUAAAGACUUUUUUCAUCAUGUGCAAAAUUGCACAUAUUAAAAUAUUUAAAAUAGAAAUUUUGUAUUGAAACUUAUACGUUUAAUAUUAAAUAUAAUUUUUUGAAUAAUAAUAUACGUUGCUCUAAAAAAGAAUGCGAAAGCAUAAAUAAAUAAAAAAACUCAAAUGGAAACAUCAACGGGUCCCAUUAAGCUCCUUAUAAUAAACGGUAGUUUUGAUGGGAUCCGAACAACCAUUAAUGCAUGCAUAUAUAUGUAGGAGUAUAUGGUAAUUGAAUGAACUUAAAAAAUCAAUUUUACUUAUAUUUAAAAAUGAAGGGAGUACCUUCAAACAUUUUAAUGCGCCUACUUAAAUCACAAGCUUGUGUUACCAAACUCGACAGUAUAUGGUAAUUCUUGCCUAUCAAAAAGGUGUGUAUAGUUCAUGCUAAGUUGGUAUCAACGGAAAUCAUUUGAAACUUUAGAGACAUUGUUUUAAAACCCACUCUGAUUCAUCAAUUCAUACUUUUUUAAUUUAAAGUAUCAUAUGUUUAUUUAAAAAAAAAAUCAUGAAAUAAAAAAAAAAAAAAAACAUAAUUCUCGAAUCCCUAAUUCCCAAUUUCUUCUACCUAAUUCCAUGAACAAUAUGAGAGUAUCACAGCACAUAUAUGAGUUUGAUUAAUUUUUCACAAUACUGGGUGUGAGGAAUUUUUCAAGCACUACCGACAAAAGAAAUAGAGAUCACUUCGUCGUUACUUUGCACAACAAUGUCUUAAUCAUUCUAGCAAAACACUCUUCAUCGCUCUCCGAUGCUACACCAACACCAUUGUGAAGGUCAAAAAAAAUUCCAAAACCCAAAUUCUACAAUUAAAAUCAUAAGAGAAUCAUUUUCUACCAAAAUCAUAACUGCUUCCAAUAACUUGAAAUUAAUCUCUAAAGCUUGAGCAUGAUGACACAAAUGGUUCAUCGUCGAGAAUAAGCUUUUAUAAUAUAACGAAACAGUUAGAAAUCUCUCUCUCUCUCUCUCUCUCUCUCUCUCUCUCUCUCAAAUUUCGGCAUGUUCAUGGAAAAGUGAUGUUUGUCAUUAGAAAGUGUACUAAAUUGUCGUUAAGUAGUAAAAUUUAUAAGUUAGUAUCGAUGUAGAUUGUGAAAUCUCAAUUUAACUACUACAAUAAUAGUUUGGAUAUAUACAAUUGGGGGGUGUUUCACUUGGCAAUGGUUGGAUUAACUGUUCUUUAAAGAAAUAGGUAAGACACUGAUUAGGUCAUGAUAGAUCUGCUUCUCUUAAUUACAUAGAAACUCACCCCCUUGAUUGCAAUUGUUCCAAUAGUUUAGUUUCACGACAUUUGAUCAAAAUAGUUAAGUUAAUUUCUAGAUCACUAAUCUUUUUCUCUUGUUACGACCCCCUAAUGUCUUAUAUGAAACUAUAUCAAUUGAAGGCUUGAUUGUAUGCCAAAUUAUUAUCACAAAGCAGUUAGCUCAAGCCCCAAAGCUAAGGUUAAUGGUCAUCGAGACCAAAAUCAGUUUAUAAACAUUCAUAAUCGGAUAAAAAAGCAUUAAAAACAAUUAUAACUGAAAGCCAAAGAGAAAGACACAUAAGCAUCCAGACAAGCCCCCCACACAGCAACUACCGGCUCAAGUAGAGAAUUGCUUCCACCACUCACUCAUAGUGAGAGCAAGGCGAACCAAGGUGGGACUUAUAAAAAAAAAGAACCAAUAACACAAAGAGAACUGGGUCUUCAGAACCAAUUCCUCCACAUCUAAAAUCUUACCGACAAACACAAAAUCAUUAAUGUAACAUGUGUCACAUUGCGUGAAUUUUGUAAAUUUUAAAUACUAAUUUUGCUUUCUACUCAUAAAAAUUGUGAACUUUAACCGAAAAAUUAUGAUAUAUUAAAAAUAUGUAUUAAGAACAGGGCCGACCCAAGCUAUAGGCAAACCAGGCAUUUGCUUAAGGCCUUGAUUUUUUAUUUUUUUUUUACCUAUUAUGCAUGGUACUUUUUUUUUUUUAGCGAAUCUCAUAUUUAUUUAUGGAAAUAAAAAAUUUAAGAGAAAUAAUACAAGUUGUCGAAUGAUAUAGCAAUUGAUUUGCUUAAUUUUAUAGAAAGACUUGGUUUUUUUCCAGAUGUGUAUAUUGGUUAUAGAAUAUAAUGUUAACAAUUCAUAUAAUUGUUGUGUCUGCAAAUUUGAAUUUGUUUUAUUGUUGAUUCAAAAAGAAAUGUUAAACUAAACCGAUUAUAAUAAUUUUGCAUCCAAAAAAAUAGAAAUCACUUUGAAUAAAAAUAUAAUUUUUGUAAAAUAAAUAUAUAAUUAAUAAUUUCUUUUUUGUACAAACUAGUAAUAACUUAAAAUGCUUCAAUUUAGAUUUCGCGUUGAGCAUCAAUAUGUGUUGGAACGGUCCUGAUUAAAAAAGUUUUAUGCUAUGUAUUUUUUUUACCAGUGAAUUAUAGAAAUCUCAUCCAUAAAUUUAAAAAGAGAGGUAAUAAGACAAGAUAACACAUUCAUCAUUUUUUGGAAAAGCUUAUCAUCAUUACAAAUACAUAGUCUGAUGCAAAUUUAUACAUGAUUUCUCCCGAAGAAAUAUCUAUCUAUACUAUAUAGUGGCAAGAUAGAUAAAUACACCAUUAUAUCAACACACAACAUUAUUUUUAUUCAUGAAAUAUAUUACUGAGAAAGAGUGCAUGGUGCAUGAAGAUAGAUAUCAUUAUGAUCAGUUUUGAGUUUUGUCCUCAGUUUGCUCGGCACCGUGACUACCGUGUCCACCUCCACCAUGGUUGUAACCACCUCAACCGUGGUGGUAACUACCUCGUCCAUGGUUGUAACUAGCUCCACCUUUGUUGAAACUACCACCUCCACCACCAUUUCUGGCAUCAUUUACUUCAUUAGUCUUUUCCUCAGUUUGCACGGCAACAGAUUCAGCAGCACCGCGACCACCAUGACCUCCUCCACGAUUGUAACCACCGUGACCUCCGUGGCCUCCACCACCAUUGUAACCACCUCCACCGUUGUGGUAACCACCUCCACCGUUGUGGUAACCACCACCGUUGUGGUAACCACCACCGUGGUUAUAACCUCCACCAUUGUAACCACCACCGUGGUUAUAACCACCAUGGUUGUAGCCUCCAUAUUUGGCAUCGUUUACUUCAUUAGUCUUUUCUACAACUUCUGCAAACACAAUAUAUAUGAAUCAUUACUUUAUUUAUAAUUAACUAGAAAAGAAUUUAAAAAAUAUAGAAAAUGCUUGUGAAAGUAUUUAUAAAGAAAAAUAAUAUAUAGCUCACCCUUUUUGGCAUCAGUGGAAGUUUCAGUUAAGUCCCUUGCGGACAUCACUGAGGAAAUAAGAGCCAUAGCCAAGAGGCCUAGCAUGAGGAUUGCCUUUUUUGAAUCCAUUGUUCAAACUUUAUUCAAAUGUGAUAUUUAGUAGUGAACUAUGAUAAAACUAAGUAAGAAGUGUGCUCUAUAUAUAAUGGAGGAGUGAAGUAGGGGACCUUUACUUGGUAGUUGAGAUGGUAGCUAGUGUGUAUUAAUUCAUUACUUUUUAGAUUCUCAAUGUAUCUAGUUUAUAUUAUAAACUAUAUACAUCUUUUAUACAAUUAAUCAAAAAAAAUGAAAUUUUAUUUAUAAUAGUGAUCGAAUAGUGUAUAUAUCUAUAAAUUUUAAACUAAUAUAGUUGUUUGAUGAUUUCGAUACCAUUUAUUUUGACUACUUCCUUCGAUCCAAAAUAAAUGAUCUUGUCGAUUGUUUUAAGCAUAUCAAUGCACAUCUUUGAUCUUUAAUACUCUCUUCAUCCUAGAUAAACUGAGUCAGUUGCUCAUUUCACACAUAUUAAGAAAAAUGUAUAAAUGAAGGAGAUAAAAAAAUGAUUAUAAGUGUUUUUGUUAUGUAUUGGUGCAUUCUCCACUAUCAUAAAUGCAAAGUAUAAUAUAUUGAAUUAAAAGUGAUGAAAGUAGUAUUAAUUAGAAUUAUAAUUAGAAGAAAAAAAAUAAUUAAUAUUGUAUUGAAAAAUGAAAUGAAUCAAUUAUUUUAAGACAAUAUUUUUUUACAAAAAGUUCAGUCAUUAUGAGACGGAGGAAGUAUUAUUUAUUUAUGUAUUAACAAAAAAUAUAAAAAGAAAUUGAUAUUUUAAAAAUAUUCAUUGAGACAAAUAAAAAAAUAUCUUAUAUAUUAUCAUUUGUCUUUAUAUAAUAGUAAAAAAAAAAAAAAAAAAAAAAAAAAAAAAAAAAAAACUAACAUAUACUAAGUGAAUAAUAGACAUAGUCAAAUAAUUUCAUAAUUGAGAGAGUUGUAAAGAUCGAAGGCUAUGAAAAUGGUGAUGAGUUAGGUCUACUUGCUAUUGGCUGAAAGUGACGUUUUGAAAGCAUGCUAUUGGUUCGUACUAACUAUCUCAUCCCAUGGAGAUACAUACAUUCAAACUUAUCCAAACAAAUUCAAAAUAUGUUUUCUAUAACUAAACAAAAUUAGCAAAAGAGUAUUACAGAGGUCACUCUAAACUUUUUAAAGAACAGUGUUGUUGAAUACCACUCCUUUCAAUUAGAUACAUAUCACAUUUUAUUGAUGAUAUGAAUGUUUAUUAUAAAUAAGACUAGAUGAAGUAGCCUUUAACAUCUUAUAAUUAUAUUUGCUUGAAAUGAUUACACAAAUUAAGAAACAAACUAUGUUUCUCAACCAUAGGUUCUUUAAUUACUCUAAAUAGUAAGAAAAACAUAAGUUUUUCUGAGGGGAGUAGGAAAAACAUAAGUUAAAAGCUUAAUACAGCUCAAAUUCCUAGAAUCCCUCGGCUAUGAGUGGAAAGCUUUCGUUUGGUUCGGUUUUUUACGACCAUAUAUUCAAACCAAGUAAGAAUAAUUAAUUUGUUUUAGGGAUGGCAAUUGGACUCACCUAAUGGAUACCCACAAAAAAAAUAAAAUUCACAAUGGAUAGGGUAAAACUCCGCUUUCUUGGGUAUGGACACGGGUCCGGGUAAUACCCACAAAUUGUUAUCAAUAUGGGCACGGGUAAAAGUACUAUACUACCCAGCCCCACAACCCCGCAUAUACAUAUUUAUAUAAUAUUUUAAAUAAUUAUUUAUUUUUGGUGUAUAAUUAAUUAAUUUAUUUUGCUAUUUAAGCCUAAACUCAAACCUAAAUAAAAAAACUACUUAAUACAAUAACAACUUCAUCUUGCCGAUGUACAAUUGUUUAGGGAUAUUUUAGAUGUUUUUUUAUUGGACCAUAGUUUUAUUUCAAUUGUGAUGUUUUUAUUCCUUUUUCAUAGCUAAAGUGCUGGUAAUGGGUGCGGGUAUGGACACUUAGGUACCCAUAGAGUAUGGGGAAGGGCACUAAAGUUGUUGCCCACAAGGGUACGGGCAUGAGUAUGGGUUUUCUUACAAAUCUGGGUAUGGGGAUGGACACUAUAGUACCCUAUCCAUUGGGUACCCAUUGCCAUCCCUAAUUUGUUUUGACUUGGAUUUUACAAUUUUGUAUUAAAUCCAAAUGAAAGUUAAGUGAUUAAAAAUGGGCUAGCUUGCCUCAAAUAAUCAGUUUGGUUGAUAUUUUAAAAUUUAAUAUUUUUUAUAAAUUUUAAAAAAUUAAGUUUUCUUUAAGAAUAUUAUAGAUUUUUUAACAUUAUUUUUUUUAUCAGAGGGAAAUCAAAGACACAAAAGAAAAAAAAACUAAAUAAUUCGUUGUCUAAACACCCCAAAGACACCACCAAGUAAGACGAGAUCCAACUCUUUAAGAGGGGACACCCAUAACUUCGUAGUGUCGACAUUCUUUACACUUAUCAAUCAAUCAACACAUUAGUUGUCUUCUCUUAAAGUAUGAUUAAAGAAAACCAACCAAAAAAGACAAAUGGACUUCCUAAUGAGGGAAUAUAAGUUGCAAGAGGGUGGAAAUCCUUAUGUUGAAAAUCAGUGAUCAAGUCUAACGCAGACUUAGUUACAAUGAAAAAAAAUAAAAUAUAAUGACUAAAAAAUACAUGAAAUUAACAUAUUUGUAAUAUAAAACUAUUAAUAGGGCAUGAUAUUUAACAAUAAGGAAAAAGCAAUCCUUCAACUUUCGGAUAAACUUAAGUUGUUUUCUUUUUGGUUGUUGAAGGCAAAUUUAUAUGCUAAUUUUGUUUUAGGUUAUCAUAGUUGGUGGAUUUUAUCUUUUGUUUGCUUGGGUAAUGGUUAAUUUCUUUAUGUUUUGUUUUGAUAGGAAGAAUGUUUGUUUUGGUAGUAAUAUGUUUUAUUUUUCCUUGUUUAAAAAGAGAUAUAGUAUGAAAUAUAAAUAAUUAGUGAUAAAAUAUAAUAUUUUGGUUCGAUUUACAGGUGAUUUGUUUUAAAUGUUCUGAAACCGAUAUUCAAACAAUAGUGAUCAAAUUUGAUUAGUGUGUGUGGUUCAGGUUAUACAUACAUGAGCAUAAAAAAACACCAAUUUAGUUUAUUUGCAUUGAAUGUUUGCAUUCUACGAGUUAUUGGUUUGAUUCUUACACCUCAUCAUAAACAAUAUAGCAUAUAAUAUUUAUUUAUUUUCCUCUUUGUAUUAAAGGGUAUACAAAACAUUUUUCAAAUGAGAUAACAAGAUUUUAGUUUUCAAAUGAAUGGUUGAUUCCAUAUUUACAAGGAAGUGAGAAGAAUUCACAGAACACUUGGAUAGGUCAUUUUCUUUCCAAAAAAAAAAAAAACUAGGAUAGGACGUUUGGUGCCCCCAUUCAAUUAAUUCAUUUCUAAAAUCGACAUUGUUUUUUGGUGAGAUUCGCAAGUGGCACGCCACGUAAUUGUACAAGUUCCACAUGCAUUUGACUUUAGCAAACAUUAUCAAUCUUGGAUUAGAUCACGUGUUUGUUCUCAUUAGUUUGAUACUCCAUAAUUUAGAAUCUGUUUCUGUGGUGCAGUAUCUGUUUAGGAGGAAAUGAAUUAAGUGAAAAUCUCUCUUUAAGAUGUAAUAAUAAUUGAGAAAAACUGAAAUUGUUUCAAUUGAGAUUCAUUUCUAAAAUAUGUUUUUAAUCAAUAUAAAAAUACGAGAUUUCAAUUUUAGUCCUGCAUAAUUUUAAUAGUAAUUUUAAUCCGUACGAAAUGAUUGUUAAGAGGUGACAACUAGGGUACCAUGAAAAAAUGGUGGGUAAUUUAUUCUAACCAAUAAAUAUUCACUUUUUAAAGUGGUAUCCAUAAACUAUCUUGACCCCACCAAUAAAUUGCUCAUUAUGAUUGGUUGGUGGAUAAAUUACCCACCAUUUUUCAAAGGUAAUCUAGAAAAAACCUUGUUAAGAUAAUUGGUCCUUCAUGUCAAAUGGGUUGCUAAUUGAGCUAAACGAAUCAUGACUAGAUACGUCAUACGAUCAUUUUGAUUGACGUACGUUGCUGACUCGUGGUUGUGAGAAAAACAUCAAAGGAGGUUGAAUUGUGUAGUAUUUCUUAAGAAUUUUUUUUAAGUUAAAAACCAUUCAUAGAAUUUUUACUAUAAAAAAAAAAAAUCAAUCAUAGAAUGCAAAAGAUGAUCAGAGAUAAGAGAAAAGAAUGACACAUAUUUUUCCUAGUUCAUCCCACAAUUUGGGAUUACGUUAUGUCCCUUCACACAAGAGAGAUUUUUUUUUCUCACUAUAAUCACAUAAGAUUGCAAUUACUUGGACACACAAAUACAUAUCAACUAAACUCUCUUGUAAGGACUUGAAUCGAGUCCUAGAUUGCUCUUCAAGUCCAUUUGUUUCUGUUUUUGUACGAACAAUGAGGAUUUACCGCAAAAUCAGGGAGUGUUACUCAUUUGUGGUUGGUCAUACACUCCUUCUUCUGCACCUUCUUUAAUAUGCAGGGGAGGGGGUGCUUCCGUAAGAUACUUUGAUGCUCAAGUCAGACGAGGUACAAACAAAGAGCAUACAUAUAUUGUAUAUGAGUAUGAGUGUGAUAAAAUUGGAAUGAUAUGAAGUUCAUCGUACCAAGGGAAGGUGCCCCCUAUUUAUAAUGGUUGAUAUGAUGACAGACUCCUUGUUGGUUGCAAUCUAAUUUCCUUAUCUUCAAGAUGGUUUGUUACGAGGCUAAUUUGGAUAUCAUAGUAACGAACUUUCCAGAAUCUUGUAAUUACGAGUGACACAUGUAUAUCCGAGUGUAACAUAAUCCGAGGUAGAUGUGCUCAUCUAUGCAGUUUAGAUAAGGUACGAAUAUAUAGGAUCGAUCUCGUAGCUAACUAAAUGUUUGUUAUGCUUAGAGGAACUAGAGCGUGUAGGCGCUUAUGUCGAUCUACCAAGUGGCUUUUUUUUAUCUUGUGGAGGUGUUGAUGUGUAUCAGACAUCAUUCCGAGGUGUUAGUUAUGACAAGGUGGUAUAAGAGAUUAGUCAUAUUUUAUGCCACAUGUCACAUUUAGGUGGUAAUCUUGAUGUUCUUUGACUUGGUCCAUUUGUUAGAUCUUCCUAUGUUAUUCCUGAAGAGCUAAUUUGCUUGGACUCCUUAAUGAAUGACUAGCCUGGCCUAAUUUGCUUGAAUUCCUUAAUGAAUGACUAGCUUGGACCUUUUAGGCCCAUACUGGUAGAUUAUCCCCCUAGCCCUUGGUCAUGCAGUGGACAAUUGGUCUAAGAGUAUUGAAGUGAAAAUUUUUGAAUUUUACCCGAUGUAGAUAUAUUUGAUUUUUUUUAUGAUACGAUUUUAGUUUAAACCCGAUUUAGAACUCGAUUUACAGAUGGUAUACCCCCUGACUUGCAACUUAGAGGUGAGGUGAAAGUCUAAAGGAUUUUUCAUAUGAUACUCAAUGGUUUGUUUUGCUUCAUUUCUUGAGCAUUAUGACAUGUAUUCGUAGCACGACGUGACAAUGAGACAAUUGCUUUUUUAGGGGUGCAAUUUGAUAUGUUAGAUUUGUUAAUGGAAAGUUGUAUCGUUUGAUCGUACGUGAUGAAACAUUUUCAAUCAUUGAUGAACGGUUCCAUCCAAUUUGAAUACUUGCUACUUUCUCCCCCACCACCACCACAACUUGAUUUAAGUCAUGAAGUGCUUUUGCGACUCAUAUUUCCUUAUGUUUCAAAUUUUUCAUUCAUCCCUCCUGCUAAGCUCCGUUCUUGCUUUCUCUUUAUGUUUAAACAAUGUUUGUACAAAAGCGCUUUGAUUGAUGCACUCUUCUUUGAGAAUUGGAAUGAAUUUUUGUCUGAUCCUAAUGGGUGGCACCGUUAGAGUGUUUAAGGAGAGGUUACUGUUUUGUUUUUGUUUUUUGCUAAUUAGUUAUCAACAAAAAAAUUCACAUACCCUAGAUUCUUAAAACUCAUUCAACAUAUCAUUUUAUCUAUAUGUGUAUCAUCAUAUCAUUUCAUUAAUAUAUCACAUCACUCUCAAUUGUCUCUUUCACUCUUUUGGGAUGUACGUCAACUAUUAGAGUGUCCAUCAAACAUUAUUGCUUACUUAUUUGUAUAUGGAUACUCCUUUCAUAAUAAUAAUAAUAAUAAUAAUAAAGACUUAUUCCAUCAUGUGCAAAAUUGCACAUAUUAAAAAGUUUAAAAUAGAAAUUUUGUAUUGAAACUUGUAUAUUUAAUAUUAAAUAUAAUUUUUUGAAUAAAUAAUAUACGUUGCUCUAAAAAAAAUGAGAAAGCAUAAAUAAAUAAAAAAAAAACUCAAAUGGAAAUAUCAACGGGUCCCAUUAAGCUCCUUAUAAUAAACGGUAGUUUGAAUGGGAUCCGAAGAACCAUUAAUGCAUGCAUAUGUAUGUAGGAGUAUAUGGUAAUUGAAUGAACUUAAAAGGUCAAUUUUGCUUAUAUUUAAAAAUGGAGGGAGUACCUUCCAACAUCUUAAUGCGCCUACUUAAGUCACAAGCUUGUGUUACCAAACUCGACAGUAUACGGUAAUUCUUGCCUAUCAAAAAGGUGUGUAUAGUUCAUGCUAAGUUGGUAUCAAUGGAAAUCAUUUGUUUGUCUCUUAAAAAAAAUACUUUAUUUUUAUUUUUAUUAUAUAUAUAUAUAUAUAUAUAUAUAUAUAUAUAUAUAUAUAUAUAUAUAUAUAUAUAUAUAUAUAUAUUAUAUAUAGAGAGAGAGAGCGCAUUGUAUUGUCCAUGUCAACUUAGAUGUGCUAAUGGUCACUGUAUAGUUUUAUAAAAGGUUUGCAUUUUUUACAAUAUUUCGAAUAGUUAGAAUACAAAUUGGAUCCACUAAAUAAAUUAUAUACACCAAUUACUAUUGUCCAUAUGAAUUUUAUACACCAACAGGUUCAACCUAUGUGUUUAAUGUGCCGUGUCUGAAUGUUUGUAAAUUUCAAGUACUAAUUUUGUUUCCCACCCAUAUAAAAAUUGUGAAUUUUAUCUAAAAAACUAAAUUAUUAAAAAUAUGUAUUAAGAAGUUUUAUGCUACAAAUUUUUUGAUCGGUCAAUUUUCUUAGAUAUCUCAUCCAUAAAUUUAAAACGAGAGAAAGUAAUAACAACGUAAUACACAUGAUAACACAUUCAUUUUUUGGAAACGCUCAUCAUCGUCACAAAAUACAUAGAUUGUUGCAAAUUUAUACAUGAUUUCCACUAAUGAAAUAUCUAUAUUACAUAUAGUGACAAGAUAGAUAAUACACAACAACUUGAAAUUGUUGUGCCUUUUUUUGAUCAACACACAACAUUAUUUAUUCAUGGAAUUUAGUACUAGAAAGAGUGCAUCAUGCAUGAUCAUAGCAUUAUGAUCAGUUUUGAGUAUUGUCCUUAGCUUGCAUGGCAACAAAUUCAGCAUGCGAGCAGCACCUGCCAUGGCAAUGGUAUUGGCAACCACCUCCACCGUGGUUGUAACCGCCUCCACCAUGGUUGUAGCCACCACCAUUGUAACCGCCUCCACCAUGGUUGUAGCCACCACCGUUGUAACCACCUCCACCAUGGUUGUAUCCACCACCAUUGUUGUAUCCACCACCACCGUGGUUGUAACCUCCACCAUUGUUGUAUCCACCCCCACCGUGGUUGUAACCUCCUCCAUUGUAACCACCACCGUGGUUGUAACCUCCACCAUUGUAACCACCACCAUAUUUGGCAUCAUUUACUUCAUUAGUCUUUUCAACAACUUCUGCAAACACAGCACACAUAUAUAUAUAAUAUAUCAUAUAUGAAAAGAAUUUAAAAAAAUAUAGAAAAUGCUCGUGAGAAUAUAUAUAUAUAAAGAAAAAUAAUAUAUAGCUGACCCUUUUUGGCAUCAGAGGUAGUUUCAGUUAAGUCCCUGGCUGAGACUUCUGAAGAAAUAAGAAGAACCAUAGCCAAGAGGCCUAGGAUGAGGAUUGCCUUUUUCGAAUCCAUUGUUCAAUAUCUGUUCAAAUGUAAUAUUUGGUAGUGAACGAUGAGAAAACUAGUAAGAAGUAUGCUCUAUAUAUAAUGGAGGGAAGGAGAGGGAGAUGUAAGGACCUUUACUUGGUAGUUGGGAAGGUAGCUAGUGAGUAUAAAUUCAAUCUUAUCUAUAAAUUUUGAAAUAUUGUUUGGUAAUUUUGAUACUAUUCAUAAUCUAUACUAUGUACAACAAAAAUGCAUGGUUUUAGGAUGAUUUUUUCACUUUCAAUUAUACUCUUACAAAAUUGCCUAUAAAAAUGUUAUAUUAUUGACGUCAUUUAAAAAUAUAUGAAUUUAUACUAUAUUUGUUAUAGGGUAAAAUAUGCUUUUCAUCCCUGCAAUUAUAGGCCGUUUGAUUUUUCAUCCCUGAGCUUACUAAUCCUCCCAUUUUGCCCUUGUAAUUACUAAUCAUUUGAAAGUUCGUCCCUCUUCCCAGAUAAUCACUGCCACAUCAUCAAAUUAGCAAAAUGGCAUGGGAAUUGACAAAAAUACCCCUGAUCUAUUUUUAAAAUUCUGAAAAUUGUUUUUAUAAAUUAAAAAAUCUGAAAAUAAUUUUAAAAAAUAAAAAAAUUAUAAAAAUAUUUUGAAAAUAACUUUUUCGAAAAAAAAUGAAAUAAUUUUUCACAUAAUUUUAAAAAAUAUAUAAUCAGAUUUUUUCGAAAUUAAUAUUCUGAAUUUUAAAAAAAUCUUUAAAAAAAAUCAGAUUUUUUAAUAAUUUUCGAAAUUAUAUAUUCAGAUUUUAAAAAAUUAUAUAAUUUUAUAUUUUUUUCAUAUUUCAAAAAAUUAUAUUUUUUUAAUUUUUUAAAAUUAUUUUCAGAUUUUUAAAUUUUUAAAAAUAAGUCAGGGGUAUUUUUGUCAAUUCCCAUGCCAUUUUGCUAAUUUGAUGACGUGGCAGUGAUUAUCCGGGGAGAGGGACGAACUUUCAAAUGAUUAGUAAUUACAGGGGCAAAAUGGGAGGAUUAGUAAGCUCAUGGAUGAAAAAUCAAACGGCCUAUAAUUGCAGGGAUGAAAAGCAUAUUUUACCCUUUGUUAUAUUAUAGGUGUCAUCGGAAAAUAAAAUUGAAGUUUAUCACAAUAUAAAAAUACAAAAUAUCUAUAAUUUUAAUUUUAAAUACAAUCAAAAUUUCAUAUAACUGUCGUUUGAAUGUCUUAACACAAUAAAAAUAGUGGACAAACUAACAUGAGAUAUCUUUCAAACGAAAGGGAAUAGUAAAAAUCGGAGGCUAUGAAAGUGAAGUAGGAUUAUAUUUGCAAUUGGCUGAAAGCGACAAACUAUUGAAAGAAUACUACUGGUGGUUCAUAACUGCUAUCUCAUCUCAUGGAGAUACAUAGAUCCCAACUAAAUAAAAGAAUUGGCAAGAGAGUACUCUCUCCGAUUUUUAUCAUAAAAAAAAAUAUUGAAAAAACAUCAAAUUCAAUGCAAUCAUUAAUUAAUGUAACUUUUUGAAUAUUUUUAAAAAAGAUGUUAUUGGUCUUUAAUUUGAGGUGGUAUGAGUAUUCUUAUCGUCCUUCGGUAGGAGCGUCAGGUUGUUUAUAAACUGUGCGGGGUUGUUUUUGUUGGAGGUGUAGUCAUCGUACAAUUUUGAGCAUGUUCUGGAUCCCAUGGUAUGUUUCUUACUAAUAAUAUAUAAUUACAAAUUUUAUUUGGCAAAUAUAUAUGAUCCAUGUGAUAAUGUAGAUAAGAAAUUUUUAUUUGACAAGUUAUUUGCAAGUCUUGGUGUAUGGGAGGGGAAGAACUUUUGUGUGUGUGGUGAUUUUAAUGUGGUUCGGUGUAUGGAAGAAAGGAAAUCAAUUAGGGAAGUAGUACAUUAUGAAGACAUUGAUCCUUUUACUAGAUUUAUUGAGGAGAAUUUCUUAGUUGGUCUCCCUCUUGGGGGUCAUGCAUAUACUCGGUAUUAGAGAGACGGUAGAAACAUGAGCCACCUGGAUAGAUUCCUGUUAUCUGGAGCUUGGUGUUUGACUUAGACUAAAUGUUUUCAGAUGGCUCAAAUUAGAGGUUAUCAGAUCAUUAUCCUAUUGUGUUGUUUCGUUGAUGACAAAAUUGGGGGCCCAAACAACCGCAUAUGUUGAAGUGUUGGUUAGAGAUUCCAAGUACUAAGUAGUUUGUUUGUGAUCAGUGGAGGUCUUUUCAGGUUGAUGGUUUGGGUGGUUACGUGCUUAAGGAGAAGUUUAAGUUGAUCAAAUCGGCGCUUAAACUAUAGAAUAAUAAUCAUGUUCAAAAUUUGUCAGGGAGGAUUUCUGCUAUUAAGGAGAGAAUAGCUUUGUUAGAUUGUAAAGGGGAAAUUGAGUUGUUUUCGGAUGCGAGUCUGAGGAGUUACGUGGGCUGAUGGGUGAUUUAUAGUUUUUAUCUCGUAUAAAUACUAGUAUUUGUUGGCAAUAAUCUAGGCUACUUUUGCUAAAAGAAAGAGAUUCGAACUAUAAGUUUUUUCAUGGCAUUACUUCUAGUCAUCAUCGGCAGGGCAAUAAUCUUAAUUCUAUUAUUGUUGAAGGCGCUCGGGUGGAAGGAGUGUCUAAUGUGUGUACUGCAAUUUUUUCUCAUUUUGUGGCUCAUUUUAAGGCGGGUAAUGUUGAUAGACCACUUGUGGAUGAUCUUCAUUUUCAUACUAUAUUGCCUAUGGAUGGAGUGAAUUUGAUUAAGGAUUUUAGUCUAGAGGAAGGGAAAGUUGCAGUCUGGGAUUGUGACAGUUUUAAAAAUUCUGGGCCCGGAUGACAUUAAUUUUAGUUUUAUAAAGGAGUUUUGGCCUGAAUUAAAAGGUGAUCUCAUGAGGUUCAUUUCAGAGUUUCACCGCAAUAUAAGAUUAACGAAAGAUAUUAAAUGUACCUUAUCUUCUCCUUUUUAUCAUCUUUAUUCACUUUGUAUUUUAAUAUCUUGUUAUUGUCUCUCUUCACUCUCACUUGGUAUGUGUAUAUAUGUUUAGAUUAACUAAUUUCUCAAUAACUUAUUAAUUUUUUUUGUUUAUGUGUUUGGUGUGAAAGAAGGACAUCAAGUAUAGAUAGGUUUUUAUUUUUAUUUUUGAAAGAUCAAGUAUAGAUAGGUUGAAACUGAGUAAUCGAGCAAACUUUCGUAUGGUAGCUCAUAUGAAAAAUUAAGCGUUUAAAACAAAUGUAGCAAUAAAAAAAAAAAUUGACUUGAAGUCAUCAAAGAGAUUUUUUUUGACACAUAGUCAUCAAAGAGAUAGAUCUAUCGAGCAAUGAUAUAUAGUGUCACAUGAACAUGUUUUUUAAACUUCACAUUCUAACUUGCAUAUAUUUAUUUUGAUUCCUUACAAAAUGGUUUAUAUCUCCGAUAUGCAAUGUGUAGAUCCCUUGGACGGUUGCAGGAGCAGAACAAUGUUUCAAGUCUAUUUAUAAUAACAAAACAACCCAAACAAAAAUUAUAAGAAAAAAAAUUAUAUAUUCAUAGGGGUCGUAGGCGUAUUUGAAUCUAGGUUUGCAUAUAUACAUUAGGCUUAAAUAUAUUUUUAGUCUUUUAUCUUUUACAACAAAUGUAUUUUGGUUAUUUAUCUUAUUUUGGUCCUUUUUUGUCAAAAAAAAAAAAUAUUUUUUCUCUAUUUUUUAAAAAUUGGUAUCUUUUUAAAAAUUAGAGAAAGUUGAAAACUAUAAAUCCACGUGGCUUCCGGUUUGUCAAUUGUAUUGUAGCAAUCUAAUCUCCUCUAAAGGAGUGCGUCAAAUCCUUUUUUUAAAAGGACGUCUCAAUAAAAUCUCCUUCUAAUAUUUAUGUUCUUGUUUUCGAUUUCAACAAUCUUUUUCACUAUUCCGAACAAACAACAGUGUCUUUCCUUCUUUUUUAUCAAGUAGUAUAGUGACUAAAAUUUAUAUUUUUUAAGGUGAAUGAGUUGAGUGUCUAGAGUUAGAACUCUAACAUCUGCAUAUAAUAAUGUCUGUCUCUGGUAACUAAACUAAUUUCCUUUUCUAAAACCAAAAGCCUAAAAUUUUCCUUAAAGCCUAAACUAUUCACCUUAAAUAUAAAUUUUAGUCAUUCACCUUGAAAAAUAUAAAUUUUAGGCUUUUCUCAUGCCACGUAUUAAAAUUCUGUCACUGAUGUUAUAAUUUAUGAUUAAAAGACUAAAUCCUAAAUCUUUUUAAAAAUAUAAAUAAAUUACCAAAAUAUGAUAAAAUUAAGAUAAAGCAUCAAAAUGUAUUUUUAAUAAAAGAUAAAAGACUGAAAAUAUAUUUAAGUCAACAUGUUAAGGGAGGAAGGGACCAUGGGGACCCUCGACUACCCUCCCUAUGUCCUUUGUCCUUACUGCUCAUGUCACAAUAACAAGUAAAUGAUUUUUAAGAUAUUUUGAAUAUUCAACUGAUGUACUUGUGCUAAAUUAAAUUGCCAGCAACAAACGAUAAUGAGAGUCACCCACUUAGUUCAGUUUUUCUUUUUCAUCAAAUCUAACAAAAUUUAUGCAUUAAAUGUUUCUCUAUUUUCUUCUAUAGGUACAAAUUUGCAGUUAUGAGCAUUUAAUGUUAGCAAAAAUAUAUCCAAAUAGCAUUGCAAUUUUUGAAAAAUAUUAUGAUUCACAUGAUCUACUCAUCCAAACAAUGAUAACAAUUUUUUUUUUAAAACAUUGUUGCCGACUCUAUUAUGAUGUUACUCCCUCCGUUCCUUUAUACAUGUCAUUUUAUAUAAUUUUUUUGUUUCUAAUUAAGUGUCAUUUUCAAAGUUCAAUGUAACAUUAAAUGUUGUUUUUCUUAUAAUGCCCUUAGUAAUUUAUUGCAGAGAGAUAAAUUUAAGAAAUAUAAUAUUAAAUAAUUAAGGAUAUUAUAGGCAAACCAUAAGUUAUUGUAUCAAAAGUAGUGAAAUACAUUUAAUGUUUUGGUUUGUGUAAAAAGUCAAAAUAUGAUAAUUAAAAAGGAACGGAGGGAGUAUGAUUUAGUGAUAAGUAAGUGGCAUGCUUGGCAAUGUCUAAUUUGACACAAUUUUUGGCAUUAAAAUUUAUGAGUUAGACUAACAAAUACUUUUAGGGUACUUGUUAAAGAUUCAAAAAUAAAAAUAAUUGAAUAUACAAUUUUUAAGAUUAUUAAAAUUUCACUUUAAAUUUCUAAGCAAAUGUCAUAAGGACACUUGUUAACAUCUUACAAAAUUCAUUUGUAGUCAAACUAGUACAAAUAACAUUUCCAUCGAAUGAGAAUCAACUCCAAAAUUUCACGGUGAUCGUUGUACUUUAUUUAUACUUUUGUACUCCAACAACUUUUCUAUAUUUAUAUAUAAUUAAAAUGAAUUUUGAUUGUUAUACAUUUAAAAAAAAUUAUUCUAAACUAUCUAAAUAGUAUAAAUUGAUAAGAAUCAAACAAGCAUGUAUUCAAACAUAAAUCAAGUUACUUUCAACUCAAUUUUAAUCAAAAAUCAAUUCUACAAAACUCAAUUUUCACCCUCACAAAGCUAAACCCACACUUUAAUGACCUAAACCAUAAAGAUACCUUGAAAUAUCUGCUCAAUGCUAUAUGGAAAUAAAAUAACAAACGUAACAAUGAAAAUUGAAAGCCACACAAAUGUUUAGUGUCUCUUGGGCAAGACGAAAAUACCAAAUUAAAUCCUCUCAUUUCUUCUUAUAACUCAAUUUAUAAUAAAUUAUGGAGAAUGUUAACUAUUGUCUCAAAAACAUUGGUUAAACAUCUAAAAUAAUAAGUUUUCAUAAAAAAGUUGUGUAAACAUUAUUUGAUCAAAAGUAACAUCUUAUAUUUUCAAAACAAAAUUUCUAUUUGUAGAUUCAUUAACCAUUAACCGGAAGACACUGGUUAGAAAGACCCAUAAAUUAUUUAUGAGAUGUAAUGCUAACCGUUAAGGAUACUAGAAAAUGAAGUUAUUACUUAAUUAUAUUUUUUUUUUACUUUUUAUGGAUUAAUUUCACAAUUUUAAUUCAAUUAAUACUAUAUAAUUUCCUUCUUUAGUUUCUUUAACUACUUUCUCAAGGACACUGAUUAACAUUUCCUUUAUAAUAAUGAUCGAUGAACUAUACGUGUUGUAACUUUUUAAUUUUUUUUACAAAUAUACCUUUAAUGGAAGUUGUGAAACAUUAAAUACAUUCACUAAUAAUAGAAAUACAAUUAUUAAAUAAGGGGUAGAAAAGUCUUUUAAGCAAUAACUAUGUGACAUUUUCUUUUAAAAAUGACCAAUUUUUUUUUUUUAAAAAAACUUUCUUAUAUUAAGGACCAAAGGGACUAAAUUCAUCCAUUGUAGUCAAUUUAUCUAUAAAUGAGUGUUUUUUGAACAACCAUUUAAUUAAACACUUAUAAAGCAACCAUAAUUUACAAAAAAAAUAUUUACACAAAAACUAAAGCAAUAUAAAAAUGAAAUAAAAAAUAAUGUUAAUAUAUGAAAAAUUUAUCAUAAAAUGAAUAUUCAAAUUUCAUUUCUCUUAUCUAACCAAUCUUCCUUUUCCUUAUAUGAAAGUUACAAAGCCGCCACAAAAGACUUUCCUUCAAUCAUUGUAAGGAUAACUCAUUCAGUACGUGGACAUGGUCCUCGAAUUCAAUCAUGUGGAACCAUCCAUAGGCAUAGCCAUAAAUAUUUAGAGGUUCAUGUUUCCUUCAUCAAUGGCAAUUUUAGCAUAUGAUAAUGAUUGAUGUCUUUAUAGGAGUGUUUUCGAUCAACCCACAAAUCUUGUGCUUAUAGAUACUCUUGUUUAAAGAGUUGUCUAGAACCAAAUAUUUUUAACAAAAUUCAAUAUGGUAAGUUACUAUUAUUAUAAAACUUAUUUAAGUUGGAUUGAGUAUAUAAUGAAAUAAAAUCAUUUGAGAAAAAUUAUUUGUCUCAAAAUACUUUUUUUUUUUGUAGGGAUUUGUCUCACAAUACUUAAAGCCACUAAGUAGUAACCAUUGUUUUUAUCAUGAAUUUAUUUUGUGAUUUUUUAUACAUAAUUUUAUUAAAAUUGAGGUGUUAUAAAUAUUUUUAUGAGGUCUUACAAUAAAAUGACAAAUCAUUUGGAAGGCCUCAAGUUUGAAUCAUAGCUGAACAAUUUUUAAUCAUGCCUUUUCUACUUUAUAAGUGAACUUGGGUCAGUAUUUUUUUUUUCAUAAAGAUAAUAAGAUUGUUACUAGCAUUUAAACUAUUACCCGCAUAUAAAUUACGAAAAAUAGUUUUUAUAGAAUUUUAAUUACAAUUAUAUUGAUCUUGAUUAAAAUUAUAGGUAUAGAUAAUAGAUAUUUUUCAAUUUUAUAUUGUAACAAACUAUAAUUAUCUUUUUCAAUGUUAACAAAAAUAUAAUAAAUUUAUUUUUAUUUUUUUGAAUGAUUUCAACAAAAUAGUAUUUUUAUAAUCAAAUUUGUUUAAGAAUAUAAUUGAAAAGAAAAAAUAUGCAUAAAACGGCUUAUUUUUUUUGACUGGUGCUAGUCACACCCCAAAAAAAACAAGUUACACCCCAGAAUGACUAAUAUACCCCUAAGUUGAACAUAAGUAAACUAAAUUUACAUUAACCUAAAUUGAACAUAAGUAAACUUAAUUUACAUUGAACAUAAGUAAACUUAAUUUACAUUGAACAUAAGUAAACUAAAUUUACAUUAACCUAAAUUGAAUAAGUAAACUGAAUUUACAUACUGAACAUAAGUAAACUUAAUUUACAUUAACCUAGAUUGAGUAAACUGAAUUUACACUAACCUCUUAUAUCUAGAUUGAACGUAAGUAAACUAAAUUUACAUUAACCUAGAUUGAACAUAAGUAAACUAAAUUUACAUUGACAUAAGUAAACUAAAUUUACAUUAACCUAAAUUGAACAUAAGUAAACUGAAUUUACAUUAACCUAGAUUGAACAUAAGUAAACUGAAUUUACAUUAACCUAGAUUGAACAUAAGUAAACUUAAUUUACAUUAACUUAGAUUGAGUAAACUGAGUUUACACUAACCUCUUAUAUACAUGUAAACUGAAUUUACACUAAUCUAGAUUGAACGUAAAGUUAACUAAAUUUACAUUAACCUAGAUUGAACAUAAUAAGUAAACUUAAUUUACAUUGACAUAAGUAAACUAAAUUUACAUUAACCUAAAUUGAACAUAAGUAAACUUAAUUUACACUAACCUAAAUUGAACAUAUCUCAUACCAAAACAAACAAUAAACAAAUAGAAACUCAUUGAAAAUGAAAUUCAUGAAAUUCACUAAUCUUUAUGAAUAUAGUACAAAUCAAUAACAAAGAUGUUGAUUCAAAUAUUGGUUGCACAUCUAUGGUGAUUUGUGGAUGAAAGGGGGUAAGGGUUCAGAAUGAUCAUAAAAGAUGGAUUUUUAAAAAUUUACAUGAAAAGGACAAUUUUGGUAUUAUUGUAAAAAUUUAAAUAAAUUUAGGUGUAACUAAUUUUUUUUGGGGUGUGACUAGCACCAGUCAUUUUUUUUUAUAGAUAUAGAGUAACACUUGUUUUGCAAAAUAAUAUAGUACACAUUCUCCAUAAUUAUAAACAUAAUUUCUUCUUAAAGAUAAUUUCUUGUUUUGCAAAAUAAUUUCCUGUUGGUAAAAAAAAAAUAAACAUAAUUUAUUUUUAAGAUUCAUUGAAUAACUGUUUUUUUUAAAAAAACUUUAUUAGAUGAUUAUUGUAUCUGAUCUAUAUAAAUAAAAUACAUUGAUUAUUUAAUCAAUAUGAAAAAAAAAAAAAAAAUUAACUUAUAAUAUUGACGGGAUGAGAAUUUUCAGUUGAUUUUAUUGAUUGAUGCUAUCUAUAUUUAGACCAGAGAAGGGUCUAGUUGUUGCCCCGGCAACUAAUAGACCACUCAUAUGUGAUAACAGGGAAGUGAGAAGAAUUCACAAAAUACUACACGUGUCCUUUGGUGUCCCCAGUCAAUUAAUUCUUCCACAUUGACACUUUGACAAUAUUGAGGCAUUAAAAGCAAUGGAUUUUUCCUUAAAAAAAAUGUAGGGUUAAUUAAAUUUUGACUAAAGUGCAUUUUUCCACCCCUAACUUUAAAAAACUUACAAUUUUGACCUCUUAAGUACAAAAACUAUAAUUUUGGCCCCCUAAGAUUUAACCCCUUUGCAACUUUGAUCAUUUUUGUCAAUUUUGACCGGUCAAUGCCUAUAUGGCAUGCCACGGAUGUAAUUAAUGAAUUAAAAAUUAAAAAAACCAUAUAAUCAUUUUUUAAAUCAAAUUAAUGAAAAAUGAAAUUAAAAAAAAAAAAAUAGGAUAAAAAUUAAAAAUAAAAUUCAAAUCCCUCAAUCUUUUAUUUCUUCUUCUUCAUCAUCUCUUCCUCUCAAAACACCCACUGUCACUCUCCUCCGACCACCAUCGGCGGUGACACCUCCUCCUUCUUAUUCAACAAUGCCUCUAUCGCAGCCGUCAUCCAACUUCUUUUUGUGGUGUUUCUUUUUUCUACCCAAUUUGGUUUCUUCUGUUGGUUUUUUAUUUUACCUGCUUUUAAACUUUUGUUUGUUUUUGUAUCUUUUGUAAGAAAAAUUAAAUUUCCAUAACUCUUAUUAAUUAUCUUAAAUACAAAAGAUGAAAAAAUGAGAGAAGAGAACAAUGAAACAUGUAGCACCGCUAGCUAUGUAAGAAUAGUAAUGUCGGGAAUUGUUGGUGAAAAAGUUUGUGUGUGGAAUUGGAAAUAUAACAGUAGAUUUGGAUGUGUUCCAGCCUCUAUCAUCACAGCCGCUUACCUCCACUACAUCAGCCACCAUCUCCAACUUGAGAAUCUUCUUCACUCAUGUUUCAAGGUCUUUUUUCAUUUAUUAAUUCAUGAGCUUAAUUUCACUACAACUUACAAAACGUUUGAUCAGUUAUAUAGUAUAUAUCUUCAUGAAAAUGGACUAGAACAAAAAGAACAAGAAAGUGAAGAGUUUGUAGAUGAUAUGUGUUGGUGAUGAGGAUGAAUGGUGAUAAUGAAUAUUAGAAGAUGAUGGAUGGUGGUACUUGUGAUGGGGGAAGAUGAUAUGUGCCUCUCCUUCUUCAUCUGCUUGUAUUUUUAUUUUAUUUUUCCUGAUUUUUUUAAUUUUUUAAUUUUAUUUUUCAUUUAUUUAAUUUAAAAAAUGAUUAUAUGAUUUUUUAAUUUUUUUAAUUUAUUAAUUACACACGUGGCAUGCCACGUAGGCAUUGACCGGUCAAAAUUGACAAAAAGGAUCAAAGUUGCAAAGGGACUAAAUCUUAGGGGACCAAAAUUGUAGUUUUUGUACUUAGGGGGUCAAAAUUGCAAGUUUUUAAAAGUUAGGGGGGAAAAAGUGCACUUCAGCCUUAAAUUUUUUAUCCUAUAAAUAGCUGCAGUUUUGUUUUUAGUCCUUAUAAAAAUAAAUUACAUUUUUUAGUCCCUAUUUUUCGUUAGCGCUUUUAGUUCCUAUAAAAUUUUUUGUCAGCAUUUUUAGACCCUAUCAAAAAUUUCCAUCAACAUUUUUGGUCUCUAAAAUGCUUAGGGAAAAUUUCACAGGGACUAAAAAGUGUGAUUUUAUUUUAUAGGAACUAAAAUCAAAACCGUGAAUAUUUAUAGGGGUUAAGAACUUAAUUAACCCAAAAAUGUAAUCGAUUUUUAUGAUUGAAAUCAAUGUUCACGGGACACUCUUUAAGCAUUUUUAAUAAAGAAAUUAUUCUUUAAAAAAGUUCAAGACUUCAAUUUUCAAUGCAAUAAAUGUACAAAACUUUCGUAAAAUCUUACCACUUUGAGUGCUUAACUAGUCUGUCAGGGACACUCGUUAACAUUACCCUUAAAAUUAACAUUGCUUUGAUUAUUUUAGUUCAAUUUGAAGAAACAUGGUAAAUACACAUAGAUAUCAGAGGUUCGAAGCUUGUAUAAUAAAAAUAGGGAAAUGUUAACAAAUGCCCUUGGUUAAUAAGGGUCUUGCUAACAAGUGCUAUAAGAACAUUGUUUAAGGAACCCACAAAAAGAAAUUAUGUAUUGAAAAUACAAAUCAAACAUAUGUUAAAGUCAUAACUGUACACUUUCCAGUGCAAUUGUAUGUCGUUUUGGAAAAAAAAUUUGUCCCAAAUUGUAUGUCGUUUUACAAUACCAAUGAAGCAUUAAUGUUAUUUUUUCUAUUAUAUCCUUAAUUAUUUACUACUUUCUCUUCUUCCAAGUCAUUCAUUUAUCUUUCCCAUAUCAUUUACUAAGGACAAUUUUGUAAAACAAUUCAUAAUAUUCAUUUUUCACACAAAAUUAAUUACAUUUCUUAAUAUGUGUGAAAUGCUCAAAACGUCAUACAAUUUGGGACGGAGGGAGUAUAAUAAUACAGAUUUAAAUAUUCCAAAUAAGUUUACUUAUGAAAAUUAUUAGUAGAAAUAUAGAAGAUAAAAUUAUCAUUGAUACAUAAAUAUAUUUAUCUUGUUUUGGCACUUUUAGUCUCUAUUGUGACUAAAUAAAGAGUUAUGUUAACAAUGAAAAAUUGUCAAGAUAAGAUUCGUAAAAGUAUAUUUUACUUUUUCUAUAUAUCUGUCCCCCUCAUAAAAUUUUGACUUGCUUUGCCACUCUUAUGGCUCUUCGUUAAUAAGAAUAGUAGCAACCUAAUUUGAAAUUAUAUUAUAAAGAUUGUGUGAAGCAUAAGAUAGAAAUGUUCGUGCAAGAGUAUGAGUGCUACAAUUUGUUUGAUGCCUAGUCAACACAACUUUGUACCUGUUGUGAUUCAUGAGAAUAAUUUUACAAUCUUGGAAGAUCAUACCGUACUUUGAGUGAUUUAAUUUAUUUUUGUUAUUAUCAUCAACCACCAUUUUGCAGCGUUUCUAAUACCAUGAAGUGAUGCUCUAACGAGUUCAACCAUUCAAGUUCACACAACAAACUCCAACAUUUCAAAGGACAAGCAUACAUGUUUCUUGCUUUUUCUCCCAGAGUUCAAGAUUGUGUUUCAUGCUUAUUCUCGCAAAGUUCAAGAUUGUGUUUCUUCUAUAAGCUCCAAGCAGACAUGGCAAAGUUCACUAAUUAAUUUUGACUCAUCUGUUUCCAUAAUCUAGCAACACAUCAUUGAAGCCUGCGGUAUCUUCCAUUAAUCCUUCCAACGAAGGACACAAGUUCAAUUUUCGCCAACAAAUUAACACCAUCAACAUAAGAACAAAUGUCAAUUAUAUUCAGUGUAGGAUUGACAAACCACGCUAUUUGACUGACAUUCAAUACACUUGCUAGUUAGCCUCUGUCAAUCAGGUAGUUAAUCCCUCCCAAGUAUUAGUGUGUAAUUCAAACCUUAAUCAUGUUUGUUUGUUAGUUAGGGUUAGUUACUUGUCUCUCAAGUAACUAACUGAUUUACCUAUAUUUUAGCUAGUUAGUUACUUUCUGUUUGUUACUUGAUACACAAGUAACAGUGAACAUCUUUGUAUAUAUAUAGUGUAUCCCAUUAUGAAUAAACAAUGCAAUUUUUCACAAUUCAUUAAUUCUCUUAAUUUUUCAAUCUAUUAUUCUCUCUAUCACCAAACUGUUUCUUCUAAUCCAAGUCAUCAACACAGAAACCCUAACAAAAACUGUUAUCCCCUAACACCAAGAGGCCACAUAAAAUGUUUAACCUUCGGAGGGAUGGGAAGUGACCACAUCUUGUUCCAAUCUCUUUCCCGUUUCUAAUUAAUCAUCCCUAUUUAUGAUAAUGUCAACACAAACUCAAUAAGCACUUUUGACUAAAUAUAGACCUUUUCUUGACGAAUCUUCAUAUUAUUGCAUCCUUUCUUGCAAGAUUAGUUCACGGAAUGUUGAGAACUUCAUGUACAUCUAUCUCACUAAAUAAAUUCCAAAGAAGGUUAGUAUUCAAACUUCUAGAGUUUGUAUCAAUAGGUGUACUAAAUUUGUAUGUAGCUAAAAAAUUGGUACAUACAGUAGAUAUAUAUAACAUAACCCUCCCUUCGACAAUAUUCUUUUUUUUUUGCUAAGCAGUGAGAAAGACAAACAUCAGGAGGUAACACCGACGUCCCAAUUAGGUUGACAUCCUGGAAAACCACCGUCCUCUGUCCGCUAAACUCUAAAAAUUUAUUAAUAAAGAGAAAAAAUAUAUACAAGAAGAGGGGAGACUAGACCAAAACCCUAAAAAAAAAAACAAAAAUAUAGGAUUAUGUUGACAUUGUUGAGAAGACCAAAUUCUACAUCAAACAAAGAUAGGAUUAUGUCCUAAAAGACACUCCCAAAAAAUCCCUAUUAAACAGGUAUAUAGCUUUGAAAAGAGUGUAAUAUUUUUUCAAUCAUCUUUUCUGCAAAGGAAUGAUGUAAUAGAAAUACACUAAUACAAUAAGAAGGGAUAGCUUGAGCAACUGAUUUAAUGAACUCUCCUUUCCUGUUCGAGAGAGCUUCUUACUAUUCCAACAAGAAUUAAGCUUCCACAACCGAUUCUUAAUGUAGUUAAAGAUCGAUUUUUCGCUUCUACCUAUCAUAGAUUGGAGCCCAAGAUAUUUUCCGGAGCCCAUGCACUUUGGCACUUGUAAAAUAUUAGAGAGCGUGGAGGAAUAUUUCUACUAAAGAAAAUCUCAUAUUUUUACUUCUUAAUCAUUUGCCCAUAAGUAUUUGCAUAUCUAUCUAAGAUUCCUUUUAGUAUAUGUGUUUCAAUUUCAUUGGCUCUAAAAAAUAAGUUGCCAUUUGCCCAAAAAAAAACAUGACAAAUAGUAGGAACUCAUCAUAUUACCUUCACUCCACGGACCAUUCCUUUUUGCAUUUUUAUUAGUGUCGCCAUUCCUUCCGAACACAUAAUAAAAAGAAAAUACGAUAAAAACUCACCCUAUCUUGACCCUCUUUCUAAGUAAGCUAGUAGAGUUUCAAGUUAGAAAUUACAUUCCAUUGAAUAAUAUAUUUAGGAUUAAGAUUUUUGUGAAUAAUAUUCCUACUCGUAUGUAUGUUUGAUAAAAAUUUAGAGUUUGUUCAGAUGGUUGUAAAUUUUUGGUUUUUAUUAUUGAAAAUCCAUUUCAAAGCCGAAACUUGAUUGUGCAAAAUUAGAUUCAUUUUGUAGCCAAUUAUUUUUUGGAAAAUAUGGUUACUAUGAAGGAUGAAUCCUCAAAAACAAAGAAUGAGACCAACCUCUACCAUGAUUUCCACCAAAUCCAUAGUUGUUGGAGUAGUCGAGUGUCCAUUCUUAAGAAAUUGUAUUCAAGCUUGACCAGGUUUUUAUUAUGGGUGAUCAAACAAACACAAAAGCAUAAAGGGACAUGAUUUCAAUCAAAUUAUGUAAAAAGUUCUGUCCAUUUUUACGGAGUUUAAGUUAUGAUCAAGAAAAAAAAGGUUGACGGAAGAAGCCAACAAUUACAAAUCGUAUCGUGUAGAGGAUGAAUAGGGUAGAGCCUAGCCGUUUUUUUGAAUUUAUUUUAAAUAAUAAUUCAAUUAAAUUGAUUUGAUAUGACAUGGAGAAAACAAGAAUUAUAAUUGGAUGACACUCUAAAGUGAUUUUAGAGUGUCAAUGCAUAUCCAUUUUUCCCUAGUAACAGACACUAUGUCAAGUUCGAUUUUCACUUUCAUAUUUCUAAUUUUAAUACUCACUUAACUUAAUAACAACGGAAAUUUAGAAUAUUUACAAGAACAAAACAAAUUUAACCCAAAAUUUUAUAUAACACACCUUUUUUUUUAUAUUGGUUGAAAUUUCACAAACCACAGAAUAUUGUGUGGGAUAUAUAUGGAUUUUAAUUUAGAUUAGCGUAGUCAAAUUUAAUUUUGUAAAUUUGUCCAAAAAAAAAAUUAAUUUUUUCGUAAAUACUCAAAUUAAUUUAAUGUCUGAAUAUUGAAAUAUACCGUUAAUCAUUUAUAUUAAUGAAAAACAUUUAUUUUAUUUGUAUGUUUUUUUAUUGGACCGAUGUGGAAGAGACUUGUUCUAAAAUUUGCUCAUUGUUCGAUUUAUGAUUAGAGUCGUAUAUAUUGUAUCCAGUGUUAUCUUUCAUGUGUUUAUAAUGCAUGUGCUGAAAAAAUUUAAUAACAAUUCAUGGUGGCUCUAAGAACUCGCGCCUAGCUUCCCCAUGAAGUCUGUUGAGCCAUCCACCUUCCUCAAAGUAUAGGUUUAGUCAUAUACAAGGUUUUAAAAAAUGGGCUGUUAUCGGGAAAAAUUCCGUGACAAUAAGGUAUAGGUAGCCGAUGUUAUCGUUUUUUACCGUUUUUAUAGAGUGAACAAAAAUCACAACGAAACGUCGUUUCAACUGCGAUGAAACACCAUUGCGGCCGCAAGAAAUGUCGUUUAUGACAAUUGUCAUAGAAUAUGGAUAUUUUUUCAAUUAAGAUAGAUGAAAAUCAUAUUUUUAGUACAUAUUUAAUCAUAAUGUUGGUUCCUCAUCUAGUUUAGAACUCAAAAUCUAUCUCUAGUUUAUGUUAUUUACUUUACUAUCAUCAUUUAAGAAUUUUGCAAUGUUAUGAUUAAUUCACACCGUGACAACCGUAAUCCGUAGUGCAACAUCCGUAACAGUUGAAAUCGCAAAAUCCUAUACGCGAUCGCGAUCGCGUCCGUUAUUUAAAACAUUGGUCAUAUAUAUGUUUAUUGUUUCUAUUUUAUAUAUAGAUAUAUGAUUAUAAUUUUAUAAGGUUAGGGCAUAAAUUAAGGAACAAAAAGUAGAAGUUUCUCCUUGAAAAUUGAGCAUUCAAUCUCUUGAAAGUUUCAAAAGUUAUUUUAUCAACAAAAAAAUUUAGGGUCAUGUUAACUUGUGCCCUAAGGGCACAAAUAGGGUACAAGUUAAUAAACUAAAAAUGGAAUAAAAAGACAACUUUAGCAUUGAAAAUAUAAAUUUUCAAACUUUUAAUACAAUGAAUGUACAAUUCCCAAGAAAAAGUUUCUAUGUUUAAUUUUCAAAUUUUUAAUACAAUGAAUGUAUAAUUUCCCAAAAAUUUAUUACUUAAUUCUAUUUUAAGUUCCUUAACUUAUGCCCUAACAUGACCCAAUUUAUAAAAGUUUUAUAUUUUAUAUAAGCAUAUUUUUGUUGGGUUACUGGAGGAGCCGAGGGACCGUCCACAUCGAGGCUAGAACAACCACACAAGCAAGAGAGACACCACACUCUUAUCCAAAACCUAAAGGUAAUGUGUUUAUUGGUCCUCUUACUUAUAAGGUGUUCAACCUUUACUCUUUUAUCCGAUGUGGGACAUAUAACUCACACUUGCAAACAACAACAAUUUUUAGAAAUUUUAGUGAAUUUUAUCUAAAAAAUAACAAUAUGUUACAAAUAUGUAUUAAGAAGUUUUAUGUUAUGAAUUUUACUCCCUCAAAAAAAAAAAUGUUAUGAACUUUAUAAUCGGUCAAUUUUCUUAAAAACCAAAUUAAAGUAAUAACAACAAUGAUAUAAUACACAUUCACCACUUCUUGCAAAAGCUCAUCCCCAUCACAGAUACAUAGAUUGAUGCAAAUUUAUACAUGAUUUUCACUCCUGGAAUAUCUUUACUAUAUAGUGACAAGAUAGAUGACAGCAACUGAGAUUGAUGUCUAUCUAUGCAUGCCAUUUUUUAUCAACUCACAAACAUUAUUUAUUCAUGAAAUUUAUUAUUAAGAAAGAGUGCAUCAUAACAUGAUCAUAGCAUUAUGAUCAAUUCUGAGUUUUGUCCUCAGCUUGCACGGCAACAAAUUCAGCAUGUGAGCAGCAAUGGCCAUGGCAAUAGUAAUGGCAACCACCUCCACCAUGGUGAGAACCACCUCCACCGUGAGAACCACCUCCAUAGUAAUGUCCACCACCAUUGUGGUAAUUACCACCACCAUUGUGAUAACCACCACCACCAUAUUUGGCAUCAUUUACUUCAUUAGUCUUUUCCUCAGUUUGGACGGCAACAAAUUCAGCAUAUGAGCAGCAAUGGCCAUGGCAAUAGUAAUGACAACCACCUCCACCGUGGUGAGAACCACCUCCACCGUGGUGAGAACCACCUCCAUAGUAAUGGCCACCGCCAUUGUGGUAAUUACCGCCACCACCAUAUUUGGCAUCGUUUACUUCAUUAGUCUUUUCAACAACCUCUGCAAACAUAAUAUAUAUGAACGAUUACAUUUUAUAUACAUAUAAGAAUGAUCAAAUCACAUCGCUGUAAUGUUUGAAUAUUUUUACAAUGCUCAAAAACUUCUUAUUUGAUACUUAUUUUAUAAAGCUAAACAGUUAAAUGUAUA
This 82351-nucleotide long non-coding RNA is filed under the name Medicago truncatula (barrel medic). RNAcentral describes it as "long non-coding RNA (MTRU_LNC003591)". The stretch from base 31263 to 31541 matches the Rfam family "MIR2655 microRNA precursor family". Lineage: Eukaryota; Viridiplantae; Streptophyta; Magnoliopsida; Fabales; Fabaceae. The record is from RNAcentral.